This 50204-nucleotide long non-coding RNA is filed under the name Lathyrus oleraceus (garden pea). Its description in RNAcentral is "Pisum sativum (pea) long non-coding RNA (PSAT_LNC011672)". Lineage: Eukaryota; Viridiplantae; Streptophyta; Magnoliopsida; Fabales; Fabaceae. The record is from RNAcentral.
UGAAAGUGUAAUUUUUGCAAUUUUCAAUUGAAUGGUAAAAAUAAAAGGGUAAAUUGGUUAAAACCAAUUAAGGGUAAAAUGAGAAUUUUUAAAUUUUUGUAGGGGUAUAGGGUUAAUUGUAGGGGUACAAGGUAAAAUUUUCUAACUGGAUAUUUCAUCCAAAUUUAAUUUCUAUAACUUUUCUAUAACAAAAAUCAAUAAAAAUAUAAUUGAAUUAAUAGUAAUGCAUGAUUUUUCUUUCCAAAGAAUAUCAGAUUGUCCAUUUAAAUCGUAAGAAGUUAGAAACAAAGACAUUACUUUUCUCCCUCUCGAAGAAAACGCUUCCCUAUGUAUUCUUCAAAUACAAACUUCUUUAACCAUAAUAACUCAUUCAUUCUAAAGGAGUAUUAUAUGCCUCUAAAUUUCCUAUUCCACCAAAAUGCUUAACUUCAUACAGGAACAAAAAUUAUUAAUUAAAUAACAAUUAAACUCUUCAAGGCACUGUGAACGAAAUGCUUAUCUCCACUAUAAUCAUCUGGUUAAUAACAGUAAUACCAUUUAACAAGGAAUAAAAAAAAUGAACUAAACAAUGGCAACCAAAGAAAACGUUUACAGUAAGGUUUUUUUUUUUAAAACAUUUGAAAUAAAUCACAAUCUCAUAAUCCAGCUUUGGCACCAAAAAAAAGAACAAAUGACGGUAGCCGCAACACCGUGUAAAAAUUCCUGGAGUUAUUUAUGAUACAUGAGCCCGUUGAAACCAAAAUGAAACCAAUCAAACAACAAAUACAAUAAAUCUAAAACGUUACCAUAUUUACAAUGCUCUUGCUGGUAGAUUUUUGGGUUCCGAAACCGUAUCAACCGUCUUCUCAAUACCCAAUAACGACCAUGACAGUUCUCGUGGCGUAGUCGUAAUGGUUCAGUCGGAAGAUCCGUGACAGGUUGAAGCGAUAUGAAGAUGAAAAGGGUUUAGUUGUGCGGUGGUCGACGGCGUGGGUUACUUCGGUGGCGGAGUUCGAUCCACGGUGGAAGGAAAAAGAAGAGUGAGGUUGUUUAGAUCGCAGUCAGCUUGGUAGAUGGCGUUGAAGGGAAUUCGCGGCGGCCAUGGCGGUUAGCCGGAAGUUGUUGAAGGAUGUUAAGGGCGGAGAAUUCGAGACGUACGGUGGAGUGUGUAUGUUAUGGUGGUGUUUGUUGGAAGGUUUGAGUUUAUGAAGAAGAAGAGGAUUUGAAGGAAUUGAGUGGGUAAGGGUGUGACGGCAGUGCGUUUUUUCAAGGGGAAGAAGAAGGUGGAUUUCAGUGUUUUGUGUGUGUGACGUUUGGGAGCAGAAGAAGUAUUCCUCCCUUUUUGUUUUUUUCUGUCCCAUGAGUCCCCUUUUUCUUGAGACAGAGUGGUGAUCCCCACGUGAAGAAGAAAUCUCUUUGUUUCCCCUUUUUCCCCGUUAGCCAGCUGUUCCUCCAUUAAUAAAAUCCCAUUUUUGUUCUUAUCCCAUCUCUCCCAAUAACAUGAUGCCACGUUUCAUGUUGAGAGUAUGGAUAAAAAAUCUUCUCAAAUGCAAGCUGUCAAACGUGUAUCUUUCACAAGUAUACAACUUUAUUUUUAAUUUUUAAUUUUUAAUGUUAAUAUUAAUAUUAUUUGAUUUUUCAUGAUUAAUAUUAUUAUUAAUUGAUUUUUGAUUGGAUAAUGGAAUAUGAUAACGAUUGCAAAUGAGAUCCGUGGAUUAAUUUGUAUCAACGAUCCUGAUUAAUCCAAAGAAGCACAAGCAAUUUUAAAAUGUCCGAUAUGUCCCUUUUAUAUGAUUUUAAUUGAUUUAAAAUAAUUUAAAUCAUCAAAUCAAAUUAAAUUCGCAUCUUUCUAAAUACAUACGAUAAAAAUAAAAUGAGAAUACGAAAAAUUCUAUUUAUUUCUUUUGAACAUUUUGGCGAAAGAAUAAAAAUAAAAUGACUAAAAAUUAAUAAAAGUCGGACGAAAAUUUGUUUAAAAAAUUAAAUCGGACGCACUAAAAUGAUCAGCGCGAAAUAUACUUAUUGAAAAAAUACAUCAUUUCUUUUAAUUUUGAAAUAAAUUUUGACCGAUUGAAAGGCUUAGACGGAUCAAAAUGCGAUUGAAAAAGUCGUCGAAAAAUAUAACGAGCACACCAUGUUAAACUACGCAGACCAUAGAUUAAUAAUACUGGCGUAUGCAAGUUUAAUUUUGAAACUUUUUACACGCUGAUUUUGCACGUACUUGAGAAAUGAUUUAACCAAUUUGUCUAUAUUUUCAAUAAUUUAUUUCGACCGAUAUUUUAAGUAUUAUUCAUGAUGAAAUGCAUGUUAUGCUGUACAACUGAUGCAAAUUAAAAAUGAAAUCAAGUUUAUGAAAAAUUUAAAAUGUCUGGACAAAAUUGGGGUAUGACAGCUGCCCCUAUUUAGUUACCUUGAUCCGGAAAGUAAGAAUUACAGCAGUGUCCGUAAAUUCGUGGUGGAAGGUAAUUAAAUACGAAAAGACCCAAAUUUUGUCCUUUGAAAUGUGAUGGAGAAAUGUAGAAAGAAAAUGUAACGAAUCCUAACGACAUCCAGGGUAUUAGGGGUAGAAUAUCCGAUCAAUGCCAACCCUCGAGUCGACAUUUAAAUCUUGCAAAGGUCGUUAUUGAUAUGAGGACAAACCUGAGCAGGUUUUCUGGCACCAAAAGGAUGACAAUAGAAUUAAUUGCCAUCACCAAAAGGGUGAUAGUAAUUCACCAUGAUUUCCGGGAUCGUCAUCACCAAAAGGAUGAUGGAAUACCAAGCUUCAAAGGUAGUCAUCACCAAAAGGAUGAUGGUUAUCCUGAUAAAGCUUUCCAUUACCGAGGGGGUAAUAUUAAGACUAUCAUCAAAAGGACGAUAGUUAACUCAUCAACUUCAAAGAUCACCGUCACCAAAAGGAUGAAAGUAAGUUCAACGACAAAACUUAUUAUCACCAAAAGGAUGAUGCUAAGUCACGGCAACUUCAUUGGAUCACCAUCACCAAAAGGAUGAAGGUAACAUUAACAACAAAACUUGUUAUCACCAAAAGGAUGAUAAAAAGUCAACAAUCACCAUCACCAAAAGGAUGAAGGUACUACCAAACAACAGAACUUGUUACCACCAAAAGGAUGAUAAUAAGUCAACAAUAUUAAUGAUCACCAGUAUCCAAAGGAUGAAGGUAAGAUCAACAACGAAACUUGUUAUCACCAAAAGGAUGAUAAUAAGUCACAAACUUCAAAUGAUCACCAUCACCAAAAGGGUGAAGGUAAGAUCAAAUAACAGAACUUGUUACCACCAAAAGGAUGAUAACAAGUCAUCAACCACCAUCACCAAAAGGAUGAAGGUAAAAACAAACAACAAAGCUUGUUACCCUCAAAAGGAUGAUAAUAAGUCAACAACUCAAAUAAUCACCAUCACCAAAAGGAUGAAGGUAAGAUUAAUAACAAGACUUGUUACCACCAAAAGGAUGAUAAUGAGUCACAAUCACCAUCACCAAAAGGAUGAAGGUAUUAUUGAACAACAAAACUCGUUAUCACCAAAAUGAUGAUAAUAAGUUACAACAACUUAAAUGAUCACCAUCACCGAAAGGAUGAAGGUAAGAUCAGAACAAAACUUGUUACCACCAAAAGGAUGAUAGUAAGUCGAGACAAACUUUAAUGAUCGCCAUCACCAAAAGGAUGAAGGUAAGAUCAAAUGACAAAACUUAUUACCACCAAAAGGAUGAUAAUAAGUCAAAAACUUCACAUGAUCACCAUCACCAAAAGGAUGAAGGUAUGAUCAACAACAAAACUUGUUACCUCCAAAAGGAUGAUAAUAAGUCACAAACUUCAAAUGAUCACCAUCACCAAAAGGAUGAAGGUAUGAUCAACAACAAAACUUAUUACCACCAAAAGGAUGACAAUAAUCUUUAAUAAUGAGAGGUCUCCAUUCACCAAAAGGAUGAAGGUUGGACCCAAAACUUCAAGGAUCUUCGACACCAAAAGGAUGACGGUAAGAUCACAAAUGUCAAGGGUUUACCAUUACCAAAAGGAUAACGGUUAUCAUAAACAAGGAGAUGAUUAAUAUUAUUCCUCAAUGAACUUUCACCAAAAGAAUGAUAGUGAGAAAAAUAUUUGGAAUAAUAAAGCUACUGACAAAGUUCAAUAAACCCGACUUGUUGGGUAGUAUUAGAACGUUACUGGGUAAGACUUGCUUGGGGUAUCGACAAUAAAAGGUUGCAGAAAAAUAUUCUCUGGAAAACAUAAUUUCCAUCAACAAAAGGUUAAAAGAAACAUCUCAUCGAGGAACGCUCAAUGAGAAACAAGGUAGGGGUUUGAAGAAAAAUUGUUCGACUUAGAUGAGGGUAACACCUUAUUAACAAAAGGUUAGAGGAUGUAAAUCAACGGGGAACACCCAACAAUACAAGGUAAGAACUCACUCAGAGAAAAUAAUAAAUGACUCAACUGAGGGUUGGCCUGGACACCUACGACUAAACCUUGGAUCUUGAUUCGUGCUAUAUGCAUGAAUGUUAUGUAUGCGUUAUGUAUGAGAUGAUGUAUGCAGUGCAUGUUUGAAUGUAAAGGAUGAUUGGUUUGUUUAGAAUUGGUCCCCCCUUUUCAAAGGAGAUGUAUUUUCUGGAAACAAAUACUGGUUGUAUUUGUUUUUGUGUGGGUUCCAACAAGGUGGACUUUGGGUUUUUUGGUAAUUGCCAAUAUGAGUUUGAUUGUUGGUGGGUGAAAGGAUCUGACUUCCCGACACUUGGUAGUUUAUGAUCUGAUGAACACGCAAUGGAUGUGGAUACGCUCGAUGCCCUAAGUUUGAUUUCUUGCUGUUAUGUUGUGUCUUUGCCCCUGAGGGGAACUCGACUUCUUCUUCUGAGAUGUUGGGUCAGCUUGUAACCGAGCAUAGUGACAUGAUCAACGCAUGAUGAUUAUGCUUUUGACGUGCCGCAAGGUUUCUUGUCAAGAUGUGAUAUUGUACCGGUAUGAAGUUUUGACAUUUUGGUUGUGAUCUUAGACAGUUUCUAGUGUCUGACACAAUCUGCCUGACCGACUUGAAGAUAUGAAGUGAAUUUUCCCCUUGCAACUUGUCUUGCCCAGUCUGUAGGGUGUUCAAAGGAAUUAUCCUUGAAAGGAAACCCUUAGGAGUGAUUAUCCCAUGACAUGGUCUGAGUCUGUUUCCUCCAACGUUUGUCUCUUGUGGUGGGAUAAACACAGAAAUGGAUAACAAAUGGUUUUGAACUCGGCAUUCAUGUCGUGUGAUUUUCUCUCUUCUUCUUUUUUUCUCGUGCAUAACUCAUAGCUUUGGGGGUUUAUCCACUUUUGGCUCUUUUCAACUCAAUUCUUUGUGAGCAUUUUAAAGGUGUUAGAGUCUUAAGUCUCGGCAAGUGCAUUUUCUUUUUUUUUUUUUCUUUUUGGACAUACACAUGUCUCUACUUUUUGUAUUGCUUUUAGAUCUCUUAUUAUGCACUUGCCCUUUCUUUCAAGAUUACCACCCCAAACUUAGCUUUUUGCACAUCUUGUAACUCACAACAAUCAUGCCGAGUGAUGGGAUGAAAUGAACGAUUAAUGGUCAACAUGGGGUUUAUUACGAACAAAAUGGCUAAGGCUCAACGGGGUUCACGAAGGGUAAACAUAUAAACAUGGAUGGCUAGAAAGGCUCUGGAUUAAACAAACAACUUGCCUCAGUGCGUGUUGUCAUGCUGUGAAGUGUCAAAAGAACAUACGCAAAAUCAGAGUGAUAGAGUCAUACCUGGCUGAACUCUCAUGAUAUUUAGUGUUUGGCCUUUUUAUUCUCACCAUGUUGGUUAAACUUACAAGCUCUGAAGCCUCCUAGUGUCAUGUGGUUUCUUUUCUGAUUCGGUUCUACCAUACCGCUCUCUUGGUCCAGUGUCACCAAAUUGUGUCCGACUUUUACUUUCUCAUGGUUGCAUCAACUUCCGGGGUACCUUAAUAGAACAAGUAUGAGGGGUGUCUUUCAUCCACUACAACCGAUCCCGGAUUCGUCCACAAUUUCUCAUCACUCUGUACACACCGAUAAACAAUAAAAACAAACGUUGAAGGAAAACAUGAACAAAAUGAAAACGAAAUAAAACAUGAAAGGAAAACCCCUCCCCCCCCCCACACCUGAACUAAACAUUGACCUCAAUGUUUAAAUCCAGAUACAAAGGGGACUCACAGCGACUACUGUUGUUUUACUGCACUUGUGUGGUUUCCUUCCAUUUUGAGGUGUUUGUGACUUUAUUAAAUCCAGAUACAAAGGGGACUCACAGCGACUACUGUUGUUUUACUGCACUUGUGUGGUUUCCUUCCAUUUUGAGGUGUUUGUGACUUUGCCCUUCUAAUUCUCCUCCUCCCCUACAACAAAAUUCUAGCACACAAAAAGAAAAAGAAAAACGAAAUAAAUUAGAAAUCAAACGCGUGGGUUGCCUCCCACGAAGCGCUUCCUUUAACGUCGCAUGGCUCGACGGUUCAUUUCCCUUAUCAUGGGGGGUAUUUCAGGUUCAAAACCUUGUUGCACCUCUUGUCUCUAACUCGGACGUUGUCUCUUUUAUCAGUGUUGACUCCUUUGCACCACGUUCCUUUUUAACCUUCCUUUCGAUGUUAGGAAUCUUCCCGUUUAGGGUGGCUACUGGCAGUGGUGAGACUUUGAUAGUAUUCAAUGUCCUGAUUAAGCCUACUUGAUACUGAGAUUUUGUAUCUUCCUCCAUAUCCUGGUCUUCAAUAGCUUUCAAUGUUAUUUCCUUGUUGUGAACUUUCAAGGUUAACGUGCACUCAUCCAUGUCGAGCUCGCAUCGACUCGUCUUCAUGAAAGGUCUACCCAGAAUGAUGGGUGCCUCAUUGUCUUCAGGUAUGUCUAGGAUUACAAAAUCGACUGGGAAAGUCAAGUCCGCUAUUGUUACCAACACAUCUUCAACCAUACCAUACGCAUCUUUUCUUGAGUGAUCCGCAAACUUCAGAUUGGUCUUUAUAUCACUGAUAUUUCUAAUACCCAGCCUGUGAUAGAUCGAUAAUGGCAUCAGAUUCAUACUAGCUCCAUAACCUAUUAGUACCUUUUUGAAGGUUCUUUCUUUGAUUGUGCAUGGUACUGUGACGGUUCCUGGAUCCUUUUAUUUGUUAGGAAUGUUCUGCUCCAGGGAGUUUGCAUUAUAUUGUUCCUUACCGGAUACCUGUUCUUCAGUGGUUGGUUUCUUUUCAGCCAUUACCUCUUCCACGAAUUUCUUGUACAUGGGCAUCCUUUCAAGUGGUUCAAACAAAGCCAUAUGACCCUCAAUCCUUUUAAACAUUGUCAUGAAUUUCUCCAAGUCUGACUCACUAGGUUCCUUCUUUGUCAUUCUCUGAGGGUAGGCAACUUAAUCACCGGUUUAGUUCCUUUUGUAGUUUCUUCUUGAGUCGGCUCUCUCGGUGAUGUAAUUUUUUCUUUUUAGCAGCCUUUUUCUCUGUCGUCGUGACAGUAUUAAACAUCUCUGACCUCUCGGAUUUUGAACUGUUUCACUUGGUAGGGAACCUGGUGUUCGAGAACUUGCCAGUUGCUGGGCUAUCUGCCCCAGCUGAACUUCGAGAUUCUUUAGGGAUGCGGCGAUGUUUUUCUGAUUGUUUCUAGUCUCUUCUUCAAAUUGCCCAUUUUGAGCUGCCGUCUUUUCAAUUGCAAUCUCCCAAUCUGCCUUCUUUGGGACUUGAUUUUGCUGUUGCUGAUAUUGGUUUUGAUAUUGGCCUUGUACUUGCUGUUGCACAUUCCCUUUCUGAUCCCUCCAUGCAAAGUUUGGAUGAUUCUUCCACCCCGGGUUGUAUGUGUUGGAGUAGGGAUUGUUUUGCUUUAAAAACUUGAUAUCUUCUAUCUGUUGCGGUGUUGCAAAGCAAUGAACAGUAUUGUGUGGUCCAUUACAAAUGCCACACACAUCGUUAGGUGCCUGUUGUACUUGAGCCACUUUCUGCGCACCUAUGUUUAGUGCCUUCAACCUUUUCUCCACCUCUGCAACAACUGCUUCUUCAAUUUUUACCUGUUUGUUUAUUUUAAGCUUCAAAUCAAUUACUGCAGAUUUGCUUGACACCCUAUCAUACAACUCCAGAUGCUCAUUUGAGGAAAUUGCUUCAAUUAUCUUCUUCAUACCGGUGGCUGUUGCAAAGUUAGCUGAGCCACCAGCUGUUGAGUCAAGGAUUUGUCUCGUUUGAAUUCGAAGACCAUUAACAAACAUUUGCAUCUGCUCAGUUUCAUCCAUGUUGUGAGUAGGACAAGCCACUAGGAUUCUCUUGAAUCUUUUAUAGGCAUCUCCUAUCGUUUGAAUUCGAAGACCAUUAACAAACAUUUGCAUCUGCUCAGUUUCAUCCAUGUUGUGAGUAGGACAAGCCACUAGGAUUCUCUUGAAUCUUUUAUAGGCAUCUCCUAGUGACUCACCCUCCUUUUGCUUGAAGUUUAGGAUCUCCUAUCUUUUUCUCAGUGACAUAGAUGCGGGAAAAUAUUCCUGCAAGAAUGUUGUUUCCAUCUGCUCCCAUGUAGUGAUACUGCCAGCCGGUAAGGAAUAGAAUCACUCUUCGGCUUCAUCUGCUAAAGUGAAUGGGAACAUACGAAGCCUUAUUGCUUCUUCGUUAUGUCCAGGCAUUUUCAGCGUUGUGCUCAUAGUUAAAAAUCUUUGCGGAUGCUUGUUGGCAUCUUCAUUCACUCUUCCAGAAAAGGACCGCCUUUCGAGUUGAUUAAUUAUGCUGGGAUGCAAUUGAAAUUGUUUUACAUUAACCGGGUGGUUUACAAUUGUCAUCCGACCACCCGGAGUGUUGGUUCCACCAUUGUCACCGAGAAGUCUCUCGGGUGGUGGUGGUGGUGGUGGGUUUGCAGCCAUGAUUUCAGGAACUAUUUCCGCGUCUGAAUCUGAAUUCUCUGAGUGCACUGAAACAACUUCCUCCUCUGCUUUCUUUGCUAAUUCCAGUUUUUCUCUCUUAGCUUGUCUUAGUCUAGCACGAAGAGUUCUUUCUGGAUCUGCGUCAAAAGAAAAAUCCGCUGAGGCCUUACCUCGCAUAAACAAGUUAGACAAAUAUUAGAAUUGAAUAACAAGAUUGUCACAGAUAAAAUUUUGGUUGACGAGCAGAUAUAAAUUCACAAAACCAACCAAACCCUUGUCUUUUUGUUCAAAUAGAAUCAGAAGUAAAAUAAGUAUUUCCCCCGCAAUCCCUGAGAUCGAUACUUGGAAAUAAAAUCCUAUUACAUCAAUCGCGUAAAAAAGUACACUUGCUAAUUCCGAUCAAGUUUUUGGCGCCGUGUCGGGUAAUGCCAAAUAAAACCUAUUUUAAUUUUUAAUUCUUAUUAUGAAAUUUUACAAAAAAAGUUGCUCAGCAAACCAAAAAAUAUUUAUAUGCCUGUAGUGACACACAUCUUAUCAAUCUAAUAUUGAUACGCCAAAAUUAAACAAUUGUUUAUGCGAGACAGUAAGCCUCAAGCGGAUUUUCUUUUAUGACGACAAUCCACGAAAGAACUACUUCGUGCUAGCACUAGAGACAAGCAAACGGAGAAGAAAAACAAUGGAAUAGCAAAGAAAGGCAGAGGAGGAGGAAAGAUUGUUUCAGUGCAACUCAGGAGAAUUCCGAUUCAGACGCGGAAAAUAAAUACAAAAAUCGUUCCUCGACAAUAUCAAAUGGCAAUGCAAAACACCCACACCACACAACAACAACACUCCAAACCACACCACACACCUGAGAAAAAAACUUAUCGAACCAAGAUAACAAGAUUGAGUGGAAAACCAAACCACUCCGGGUAGUGGACGAUGACAAAAUGUGAAACACCCAGGUAUGAUUAAAAACACAUUAAAUUACAAUUGUACCCAGCAAUAAUUAAAAUGCAAACUCGAAAAGAACGACACGUUCAUUUAUAUAAAUCUGGAAAGAUAAAAAAAGAUACAGCGAGUAAACAACAAAACAUUGUUGAAUGAAAAAAUGGUAGGAACCACAAACAAAAGAAAAAAGCAAACAAAAAAUACAAACCAACGAGGACAAAAAAACAAAAAAAGAAGAAAAGAGAAUAAAGAGAAAUAAUUACUUAACUCAUGAGCCAACAACGGCUUGAGAAAAUGCCCUGAACCAUAACGAAGAAGCAAUUAAGGAGUUCGCUAGUCCAUUACUCUUAGCAGAUGAAAGUCACGAAGGAGGUGAUAUACAUCAUCAAACUUAAAGCCGAAAAAAAGUGCUCGGCCAAAGAAUCAACCACAUCGGAGCAAGAGUGGAACUAUAAAACACAACAUUCUUGCAGGAAUAAUUAGUCGACAUAUAUAGAGUCCACUAGGAGAAAAAAAAAGAAAUAAAAAAAAAAAGAACCAAAGCAAUUAAAAUAGCAAAAACAGCAGCCUGGGCAUUGUUACAGGAAGCAUCAAUCAAAUAAACCAACACAAAACACGAAAUUCAAAUUUCUGGAAAAAUUAAAAACAUGUAAGCUACAUUGAACAAGCCAGGGUUCUAUGGUUUUUUUAGAAAACAACAGCCAUAACAACCACAUCAUCAUUCAAAACAGCAACCAAAAACAACAGCAUUACAAAAUAUGCUAUUUCGACAGUGGAAUUCUCUUUCUGAAAGACAUGACUGAUUUGGCAACUAACAUAACCAGCUGCAUUCAUCAUCCUUCUACUAAUGUUAACCUACAUCAAUCAUAUAACAAGAUUUCAGAAUAGAGAAAGGCCCUAGUUCACAGAGGUGAACAUUCCCUCCCUCUCUUGGCAACCUAAGACAAGAGUCCUCUCCGUUUCACUACCUCCUGCCGAUUCCCCGGUUGUUCCCCCCCCCCCCCUCCCCCCGUUGUUGAGAGCAGAUUACCUCCUUGUGAAGUUUUAGCACUCUCCGCACAUUCUUCCUUUUUUCUCCAUGACCCCAUAGAGCGGGGACCAUCUCCUCCGCAAGCGGCACCCCCCCAUAAGCCAAAACCAAACACAAACAACCAAAUUCGGAGCCCAAGUAUGCUGGGCUAUUGUUAUUUGUUCAAACAACAGCAAAGCAAUCAUGUUCAUCAUGCAAUCAAACAGUCGAUCACAAUUGAAACUCAAACUAGCAGUGGGCGUAGCAAACAUGGGCAUUUGGUACAAGUUUGUUCAUGCCAACAUCACUUCACUCACACAAUCUGUCCCAAAAGUCUAAUUAAUUGUUUAACAACAGACAAGCAUAAGGCAAAGGAAAUUCCUGAUGAUGGCGCAGAGCUAAUAUUAUGAACCACAACCCAAACAGGUUAAUUAGCGAAUAUCAGAGAAUUCCUACAUCUCGCAUGGCUUCUCUCAAUUAUACAUCAUAACAAGUGUCGUGGAGCAAUAGGAAACCACAAUCAACCCAAAAUGGCCGUUAGCAUUGUGGCUUCGUCGCUAUUAAUGGAACAUCACAGGCCUUAGCAACAUCAACAACAACCAAAUUCUACAAACAUAUAGACACGUGUGGUGCAUCAUANUGGUUGGUUUUGUGAAUUUAUAAUAAUAAACACAAAAAGAUAGUAGAAAUAAUUGAUUAAGAUAAAAUAUGCUAGGGUGAGUGGUUGAUUUAACCAGUUAUGAAUUCAGUCAAGAUUUCCUUAAUACACAUGAAACAUUCAAUUACCUAACCGCAUAAUGUUCUUCCUUAAGUCCUUAAGGAAGAAACUAUUAAACUACCAAUUCUUACUCAAAUGUCCAUUCAAUUAAUCAUUGGUUUUAAUCAUAAACAAUAUCAAGGUUUAUGGUGAUUCACAAAUGUUCCUAGUCCUAGGUGAUGCAAUUAUAAACCCAAUUGUGUGAAAACACUAACAAUCACAAUCCUGUUAUUGAUAGUCAUAGAUCUAUUUGUAUUUGUCUGAUACAAAAGCAUAAGCACAUCAGACAAUUGAAUUGAAAUUCGUAACAUAGUAAUAAGGAAAUCCAUAGAUAGAAUUCAUAACAUCAGACCAAAUCAGGACCACCCCCCUAGCAUUGGGGGUUUAGCCUCUCAUAGUAUUCAAAGAAAUCAUAGUAUAGAAAUUAAACAUUACAAAGAAUGAGGAGAUUUUGAUCUUCAAUGGGUGAUGCCCUUGAAUCUCGCCGUCUUUGAAUCCUCCGUAGUAGCUAUCUUCUCCGGUGCAAUGUUUCUUUUCGUACGUCAAAAAGUGUCUUCUCUAUCUCUCCAAAGUCUUUUAAUAGCCUCAGAUGGUUUUUCCCCAGUAAGAAGUCCAAAAUACCCUUAAUGAACAGGGCAGAUCCACACAACAAAAAGUAAAAUUUCUCAGCCGCGCCCAUCAACACUGGCAGUGUGGAUACACAUGGGUGCCCGUGUUGAUUCACACGGGCCGUGUGAAUUUACAUGGGUACCCGUGUUGUUUUCAAGAGUUAUGUUUUUUAAAGCAAGCUACAGAGGCAUCAACACGGGCCGUGUUGAUGCACACGGGUGCCCGUGUUAACCCUCUAUUUUACCUCCUGGAGUGCUUGUUUCCGGACAAACAACACGGGCCGUGUUGAUGUACACGAGGGCUCGUGUUGACCUACUGUAUCUUCAUAUUUUGGCCUUCCGGAGCAUCCAAUACUCGGCUAUUAGUCCUUUGGAACCUAUGCACAACCUGCAACAUUAACACUACCAAAUCGAAGCAUAAAAAGAGACUUUUUGACAUAAACAAGUAACAAAAUGCAAUGCACUAAUAAACUAACAAAACUUGUUAAAUGACUUUAAAAUAACUAAAAACAACCACAAGUCUGACCAAACUGAUGAAAAUAUGUCGGAUAAAAGGUGGGAAUUCAAUGGAAAUGGUGACCGAUCAUCGGUUAUUCUUCUGUGCUUCAGCCAAGCUGACUCACCGAUACAACACUCGCGCCAAUCAACCCAAGAUCUUGGAACAUUUGGAACAAGAGAACAAGGAGCUGAAGGAUGAGAUUGCAUGGUUGACUUCCAUGAUGGAGGUUGUUCUUGCUCCGCAUAAUCAGUCUUCACCAACUCCCGCAACUCCUCCAUAGAGGAUUGUCGUUUCUUAGGUUUCUACCUCGACUAUUCCUGUUGAUGUUAGCCAAUCCGGGUUUUCUAUGCCUGCUGGAUUCCCAUAGGAAAUGCCGCCAACAUUUGUGCCUGAAGGGUUUAUGCCUACCUUUGUUUCUAUGCCAGAAUCUAGCCCGAUCAUGUCUAUGCCUCCUCUAGUUGUUCAUACUUUGCCUCGUGUUGAGGGCACCAUCAACCAUUCUGAGACAUCUGAGGGACCAGAUGUUUAUGAGAAGAUGGAUGAAAUAAAGGAUCGGUUCCUUGAGUUGCAAAAAGAGAUGAAAACAUUGAGAGGAAAGGACCUGUUUGGUAAGAGUGUUGCUGAACUCUACUUGGUACCAAAUGUGAAAAUCCUGAUGAAGUUCAAGGUCCAUGACUUUGAAAAGUAUAAGGGAAAUGCUUCUCUAUUUAGUCACCUUGUUAUGUACGCCAGGAAGAUGUCAACUCAAACUAAUAAUGAUUAGUUGUUGAUUCACUAAUUUCAAGACAGUUUAAUCGGUGCUACUCUGAGAUGGUAUAUGGAUCUAGACAGUGCAAGUGUUCAUACUUUCAACGAUUUGGGUAAAGCUUUUGCUAAGCAGUACAAGUAUAAUGUGGAUAUGGUGCCUGAUAGACACCAAAUAAGGUAUAUGUCUCAGAAGGAUAAGGAGACGUUUAAAGAGUAUGCUCAGAGGUGGAGGGAACUUGCUGCUCAGAUUAAUUCUCCAUUAGAAGAGAAAGAGAUGACGAAGAUUUUCCUUAAGACCUUGAGUUCAUUUUAUUACGAACGUAUGAUUGCCAGUGCCCCUAGUGACUUUACCGAAAUAGUAAACAUGGGGAUGAGGUUAGAAGAGGGAGUCCGUGAUGGACGUCUGUCUAAGAAAGAAGCGUUGUCCAAUAAGAAGUAUGGAAGUGGUUUCUCCAAAAGAAAAGAGGCGGAAACUAAUUCACUAUCUGUAGGGAGGCUGAGGAGGCCUCAUGUUAGAAGGAGUUCCCAACCACGUCAGCAUCAACAUCAAGUCUUUUCAGUGAUUCCCGUCUUUUCCAAUAGUUCCAUUAAUCAACUUGUUCCAAUUCAACAACAACAACAACGUCAACAACAACCGCAGCAAAGAACCACCACCACCACCAACAAUAAUCAACAAUAAAACUUUGAGAGGAAGAAGGUCUCUUUUGACCCUAUUCCUAUGUCAUACGCCGAAUUAUAUCCAUCCUUGGUUCUCAAGAACCUACUUCAACCCAGAAAUCCACCGCAAAAUCCCGAGCCACUUCCAUGGUGGUUCAAACCUGAACUCCGUAGUGCCUUUUACCAAGGAGCCCCUGGCCAUGACAUUGAUAACUGCUAUCCAUUGAAGUAUGAAGUACAAAAGCUUGUGAAGAGUGGGAUGGUGUCGUUUAAGGACCGUGCGCCUAAUGUGAAAGCCAAUCCUUUACCUGCUCAUGGUAAUGCUUCAGUCAACAUGGUUGAUGGUUGUCCUGGGGAGUUCAAUAUUUAAGACAUCCACUAUAUCAGAAGGUCCUUAGUGGCAAUGCAUAAGGAUAUUCGUAUGGUUAGUGAAUGUGAGCAUGACCAUGAUGGUUGUGCAAUCUGUAGUGUGAACCCUCGAGGAUGUGUUAUUGUCAAGAGGGAUAUUUAAAGGUUGGUGGAUGAAGGUCUUAUCCAAAGUUUUCAAUCCCGUCACUUGGGAAAUGAUGUUAAUGUGAUUGUUCCUAUGUUUAAGACCCCUGAGUGGGUAGUAAUCCAGUUCAAUAGUAGUAGCAGUAACAACGUUAAUAGAUCGGUAUCAUCGUUAGUAAUACGGUUAACAGGCCCCAUCCCGUAUGCAUCCGAUAAAGCUGUGCCUUAUCAGUAUAAUGCCACAAUGGUGGAGAAUGUCCAAGAGGUUCUGUUUCCCGUAGCAGAUUUUGUGGUGAAUAUAGCUGAUAUUGCAAAGGUGACCCGUAGUGGUCGUGUCUUCAGCCUGUAAGAAGGUGGAUGUGCCUGUGGUGAAUCCAGUUAGUGCUCCAGUUUGUCAGUCUGGUGAAUCCAUCAAGCUGAAGCCUAAUGAUAAUGAUGAAGUUUUGAGGUUGAUAAAAAGAAGUGAAUUCAAUGUGGUGGGGCAGCUUAUCUAAACCCCAUCAAAGAUUUCAGUGUUGUCUUUGUUCAUGAACUCCGAAGCACAUAGAGAAGUGUUGCAGAAAGUCUUAGAGCAAUCCUAUGUUGAGCAUGAUAUCACUGUGUGUAGCGGUAAAUUCAUGAUCAUCCAGCUAUGGAUAAGCUGGAGAUCAAUAAAACCAGAGUCGCCACCGCGCUUUUAUUAUUUUCAAGGGAAAAGGGAAAAAGUACGAACAAAACCCAAAAGUAAGAAGUUUUCAAAUCAAAACUAAUAAAAUGUCAGAGAUUACAGGUAAGGGGGUUGGUUACACAGAGGGAAGGUGUUAGAACCCAAAGUGUUCUAGGUACUCCAAGGGAGCCCUUUCUUGUGUGCGUAUGUAUUUUGUACAAAGUGAUGUUUACAAACAAAUAGAAUGGAGGGAUGAGAAAAGAAUUCAUUAAUUAUAUUUUUAUGUUUGAAAAGACCUUCGGACUUAUGCCUACAUACUGUAAGACCCUAAUUUUGACCCUAAGAUCCCUCAUGGCAUCAUAACAUUGCAUUUGCAUCAUAGCCUCAAGGAAAAUUUGCAUCUUGGUUCCCUUUGCCUUUGGGUGGGAUCUCUUGAGAUUUGGUUUGAGAUCACCAAGCAUGCUUGAAUUGUAUAUUAUUGCUUUUCUCAUUUUAUUUACUAACCAAAAGCACAAAAAUAUGUCACUAACAUCUUUUGUUUGUAGCUUGAGCAGUCAGUAUAUUAUUGCUUUUCUCAUUUUAUUUACUAACCAAAAGCACAAAAAUAUGUCACUAACAUCUUUUGUUUGUAGCUUGAGCAGUCACAAGGUCUAAAGCUUCUAGGAGAUCCUAUGUGCAUUGAUAUGGUUAAGAGAAGGUGAAAGCAAGCAUGGAAAUGGUUCCUAAAGCUAUCAUCCAUCAAAUAUGCCUCCCAAGUAUCUCAAUUUAUCAUUUUGAUCAAAGCAAACAAGGGGCUUGAGGCUUGUUUUCCAAGGGAACCCUACUUCAUCUGUUCAUCAACUAUGCCUUGCUCAUGAAGCAACCUCAGCCCAUGAUCAAAUUCAAUCAAGGGAAGUUCUUUAAUUCAUCAUUUCAUGCAUAUUUGAACUUAUUUGAGUGUCCUCAAUCAUCAACUCAUCAAGAUAUGAGUUUUGGACUUGAGAAGUUGAUCAGUCAAUUCAUCUAACCAUUUUGAAAUGCACUGAGACCUAACUUUUUAUGUGUUUGUCAAAUGGAGAUUACCCCAAGAGAAAAAAUGUUCUUAAGUAAUAUAUGAACAACUUUCAUGUUCAUCAAAAUUGAUUUGAAGCUUGGAAGGUCAUCAUCCAUUCCAAGACAUUAUAGGUCAUUUUGACUGAAACCCUAAUUUUAGGUCAACUUCCUAAGGACAUAACUCCUACAUUUUUCAUGAUUUUGAGGUGAGAUCUAAUGAAUUGGAGAGAGUAAGAUAUCUAAUUCAAAUGUUAUGUUUAGCAAAAUUGAAAAACCUCAAAAGAAAUACAUGUUAUAAUGCAAAACAUUAUAGGUCACUUUGGACCAAAUGCAUUGAAAUGUGAAAAAGUCCAACUUCAAGUGCCCAUAACUUCUUCAUCAAAAAUCCAAAUGAUGAAAAAUUUAAGUCCAAAUUGAUUGCCUUGAGACGAUCUACAACUUGCAUGUUGAAUAUUUUGUCAUUUGUAGUUUUCAUCAUUGAGACAGAAGGGCUUGAACAUUGGCCAAUUUUGAAAAUUUCACAUAUGCAUGUUUUGCACCCUACACUUCAAGUUCAAUUUUCAUUAAUUUCCAAGGCCCAAAUGGAGUUUUGAUCACAUUGGCCAAUUUUGAAAAUUUCACAUAUGCAUGUUUUGCACCCUACACUUCAAGUUCAAUUUUCAUUAAUUUCCAAGGCCCAAAUGGAGUUUUGAUCAACAUAACAUUUGUUCCUUAUGCAAUAAGAUUUCCAACCAUUACCCAUAAGGCUAUGUUUCAAUUUUGGAAGUAUCAUUUUCGAAGAGGGGAACUUUUAGUGCAUUUUUGGAAACUUGAUUCAAUUGCCAUGCAUGAUCCAAAUACAUAUCUUCUGCACGUCCAAAACAUAUUUGGUGAUGUUUAGCUUACCAUUCCAAUCAGAAUUGGGCCCUCCAUGCGCCUGUACUGGCCCAUGCAUGGAGGGCCUUUUCAUCCAUGCACACACUUUGCUCAUGCUUGCAGCUCCCUUCAUCUAUAAAUACAAGGCCUUGGCUUCAUAAUUGGACAACCUGAAGUCACCUGUUAUGCUGCACGAAUCCCUCCAUAGCCAUACUUAAAGGAACUUUCUCUUUUUCUUCAAAUUUUCAGAUCUAAAUUUCAGCUACACUGGUUGAUUUCUAGAUCUAUAGUUCCUAAACCUUGCUCAUCUUCAUCACUAGACUACACUGCAAGCAUUAGCAAAGGCGAAUUGUGCUCUCAAGAUCCACAUUUCAAAGGUGGAUAUCAGAACUUAUUUUCUCCGAAACUCUUUAUUCAUAGCUUAUUUCUUACAUUUGCUGGGUUGUGUGAAGUCCUCUCAAUAGAGGCAAUUGUUUUGUGCUUUGAAUUUUGCAAAUCCAUCAAGUUUCAGUUGAACACCAUAUUUUUCAACCUCUGAUUUCUCUCUCCAUGAAAGUCUAGAGUGAAAAUAGAUGGUACAGGGGUGAUGUACAUCACCCCAGCUUUACAUUGUUGUAUAGAUCGCCUCAUUUGGUGAAGGUUUAUUUUCUGCAACUCUCGUCGGAAUCUCUGGUCUCGCCGGAGAAGACGGUGGUGUACACCACCGUCCGUUUGCCAGUUUUGAUCCAGGUCGUUGAUGAUGAUUCCCAGAUUGAAUCAGGGCUCUUGGAUCUUAUGACUUUUUUUAAGUGUUUAUGUUGCUUAGUUGACUUAGGUCCAUGAUACGCGCGCAUGCCACAACCGUCUGAUCUGCCAGGUCAAUUAAUGAAUUGAAUCCAACGCGUGUGGUUUUUCCUAAUUUUCUAUUUCUGAUUUUAAUUUCCAUUUUAUUUCUCUUAUUCCAUUUCAUUUCAAAAAAUCAUAUCUCAUUCAUUAUUGAUCCAAAAAAUGUGAGACCAAUUGCAUUAUUUCUCUUUUAAUUUCUAGUUUCUAAAAAUGAUUUUUAAUAUUUUUUAUUUUAUCAUUUGAUAUUUUUCAUGAAUUUUCUCUUUUCUGGUUAUUUUUAAAUUUGAAGUUUGACCUUUCUUUAUUAUUUUAAUUCAAGUUUUAUUUAAAUAUUAAAAAAUGCCAAAAAUAUUUUAUUUGUUUCUUGACUUCUAAUUCUCAUUUUGCUUCUGUUUUCUAUUAUUUGACCUUGAUCUUCUCUAUCAUUGGUCAAUGUUUGUUGAUUAGUACAUACCAUUUCCAUCAAUGCACUUUAAUUCUUCAUUUUCUUCUUCUUCUUCUUCUUCUUUUUCUUUUUUGGAUCAAUGAGUUAAAGAUUGGUGGUUAGCAUUGAUUAGGGAGGUUUAAUCUUCCUUGAUUCAAAUCUAAUUCAUCUUUAUCAUGGAUCAAGUGAAUGGCUUUGCAUUAAGGAUAAAUUGCUUCCUAAAUCAUGCAAAGAACCUAAAUCAAUACAAGAUCAUUUCUCAUCUUCUUUUUGGCAUGGAAAGUUGUUGGAGUUUGAUUCACUAAUCAAGACCUCUAACUUGUGUUGUUGCCUACAUUAUUAUUGACCGGCCUCAGAUAGUUAUAGUUGUGACUUCUACAUAAGUCCAAUUACGAUUGCUUAACAUAGCGCUAAAUUUGCCUUAUGGCACACUAACUACUAACAUUAACCAUUAACCAUUAACAUUUAAUUCUUGCUCUUUACAUUUAUGAUAUUUAUUAUUCUUGUACAUAUUAUUCAUUUUCUUUUUCCUUUGCUCAUUUGAGCACAUGUUUAUGUUAAUGCAAUUUGCCUUUUGCUCACUUGAGCAUAUAAUUGUGUAUAUAUUAUUGUGCUUGUGUUUUGUUUAAUUGUUAUGGACCAAAUGCAAAGAAAUAGACAAAUGGACUUAGUUUCUAGGAUAUUCCCUAUGCAAAUUGGAGUAAAAGGAUCUUAAUAUUGAAGAUGGAUUGGAAGGACCAAACCUCUAAACUCACUCUUGUCCAUUCUUGAUUUGCUUCAUAAGACUCUUUGAUGUGUGUGUGCUUUUGUGCUAGGGGAUCCUAUGAGAUAUCAAAUUGAAGAAUCAUUGCCAUGUUCAUCCAAAUUGAAAGAUACAAGAGGCAUUGGGGAUCUUCUAAGAGCUUGUUUGAUUAUGUUGAUUGCUUGAGCUUACUAUUAUUUUGCUUGCAUAUUCCAAAGGAUGGGAGCUACUUGGAUCAUCAAUAUGAUCACAAGAGAGGAACUCCAUUUGUGGUCUUAUUUCUUAUCCCUUAUCUCUUAUAUGACUAGGACUUUAGCCAUUCUUUUCCCUUCCUCCACUCUAACCCAAGCUAAAACUUUUGUGCAAACAUUUAACACCUCUUUCUACACAUUAGAAACCUAAGCCUUAUGCUUUUCAUUUUCAAACUUCCUUUUAAUAACACUUAUUUUGAAUUGAAUCUUUAAGUCAACUUUGACCAUAUUUUGUAAAUACUUUUCAUUGGUAAAUAUAACCCAUUCAAAUACUUUUGUGGUUUCAAUGGCCAUUUCUAAUCAAAAUUUUUUCAUAACCUUUAGCUAUUAGGUUUGAGUUAUCCUUGAGGUUGAUGUAAUACUCACCUAUAUCCUUAGUGAUGGACAAUGAGUCUUCCAUGCUUAUUAUAGGGUUAACCCCUCACUAGCAUGUUAAAGCUAUCCUCACAUGGUGGAUUUGUGGUUUAGGUUGAGUUUUCUCCCUUGGAUAACAAAAGACCUUAAGGCUUUUGGACCAAUCAAUUCACCAACUCAUUUUUAAUAUUUUUACCCCGAACUACGAGGUUUUGAUCCUAAUCUUUUUUAAGAUGGUACGUAGGCAAUGGGUUUAUCCAUCCAAACACAAAAGGUAAAUAACUUGUAUAUUCUCUUCUCAUCUCUUCAAUCGUGUUUGCACAAACAAAUUUUCACAAAAUACCAACCUUACAACAAGUAUGAAAAUAGCUCCCUAGGAGUACCUAGGAUGUUUUGGGUGCUUAAAACCUUCCCAUUGCAUAACCAACCCCCUUACCCCGAUCUCUGACAUUUUUACUAGUUUUUGAUUCGAUAAAACUUUUAGGUUUUUGUUCAUAACCAUUCCUUUGGAUAAAUAGAAGUGCGGUGGCGACUCGACUUGUAUGGUUUACCUUGGAUUUAGUCAAUAUCUCUAAUGGUAACGAAUACCCUGCUACAGAAAAGUGGCGACUCUGCUGGGGACAUUUGCCUAGUGGGUUUUUCCUACUGUAAUACCCCAAAAUUUACCCUUCAUUUUUUCUGGAAGCAUGGGAUUAUGUUUUACAUUUCAUUAGCAUCAUACUAGGUCAUACUCAUUGCAUACUGCAUUAGUGACAUGGAAAUCAGGUUUUGAUUGAUCAUUCCUUGACAGAAGGAGCCCACAUAAAUCAAGAUUUAGAAUUGGACUUCAUUCUCUAAGAAUACAAGUCUCAAAGGUCUCGGGGGGCUCUAGGUGUCUUAUUAUGGUCCUUAGCUCAUCAGUGAAAGAUUCAGAGCUAUCAGAGUGUUCAUCUAGAUUUAAUCAAGAAAUUAGGGUUUAAGGCUACCUGCAACAGGCAAUGUUUGGUUGGAAGUAGAGGAGCUCAUCCAUGUCAUGAUUGGAGAGGCAUCUUGGCCUAGGAAGACUCACAAUUAUCUCAGAAAGAUCCAUUGGCAAGCAGUGCAACAGUCCCUAAUCAUUUUGCCCCAAAUUAGGGUUUGGUAUAAAUCAGCUUAUUUCUGAUUCUUUGGGUGAAACUAUUUUCCCAUGGCCCCAUAUGUCCACAUGGGUCUACAUACAAAAAAUCAGCUCUUUAUUUGAGUCAGAAGUGCUUCAAUUGAUCAAUGGAAUCGGGAAUCAGAUAGUUUGGGAAAAGUCAACUGUGGGCCAAGAAAGUCAACUCUUGACAUUUGGAGAGUGGAAUCUCAAAUCCAUGCCUAGGGGAUCCAUCAUGUGAAAUUGUCAGUUGGAUCUUGGAUUCAUCAUUUAAUCAGGAAUUGGAAAAGUUACUUAAUUUGGAAAUGGUUGACUUUCCAUUUAGGGCAAGUUUUCAUGAUUGUUGCACUCACUUUAAGCCCAUUUUCCAUCAAAAUAAAAGCUCCAUUUGAAAUUUUCUCCAACAUGAAAAUUGUUCAUCUUGUUCCAAGCUUUCUAGAUAUAUAAAGUUUUCUCCAUUUGGAUCAAAGUUGAAAAACUUAUGCUUGGUCAAAGUGACACAUUUAUUUAGGAUCUUCAAAGUUUGUCAAGACUUCUUGGCCAGUUUUCUUGCACUUCAAGGCACCAAUUGAAAAUGUUUUCUUCACAAUAAUUAUACCUUUCCAUGUCCUCUUUCACCUCCUUUUGGAAUCAUCUCAUUUGGAUCCAUGGUUUGAGAGAUGGAUUCAUCUAAAGUUGGCAUCAUGACUUGAAUUUCUAGGCAGCAUGUUAGGCCAAACUGGCCCAACCAUUUUGGCAUGGUGAGACCUGAACUUGAGGCCCAUUUUUCACCUUCUUCCAUUCAUCAUUUAGGCAGCAUGUUAGGCCAAACUGGCCCAACCAUUUUGGCAUGGUGAGACCUGAACUUGAGGCCCAUUUUUCACCUUCUUCCAUUCAUCAUUUCCACUUGUGCUCAACAUGAAAGAUGCUAUACUCCAUGGUCUUGCUACUGUUUGCAUCAAAGAUACAUGGCCACAAAGUCACCAUCUUGUGUAAGAGCCCAUUAAGAAUAUAUGACCCAUCAUAUGUAAGAACAAAAACCCUAAAUCUGAAGGUCAUAGUGAAUUUUAGAGCUAAGCAAGGAGGGAGUUCAUUCAAGUCAGAUUUCAUUUCUUUUCCAUUUCUCAAAGUUGAAGUUUCAAAGCACCAUUCUUCUUCCAUUUUCUCCACAACCAAGAGGCAGUGGACCUAGCUUCCACUAGGUAAUCAUCUUACUCCUUCUUCCAUGGCCAUGUAUAGCUUAUUAUGCUCAUCAUUAUGCUUGCUUCAUGCCAUUACCAUGCUCAUCAUCAUGCUGGUUUCCAUGUUAAUAUUAUGCUAUGCUCAUUUCUGAAGCCCUCAACAUGAGACAAUGUUCAUGUUGUGGAUUUGUUUUGUUUAUUUCUGCUCACACUCGUGGCCAUGUUGUCCUCUUGUUGUCAAUAUUUCUCCAUGAUUAAGCCAUCAUUUAACCUAAAACAAGUCACCAUGUUAAUCCUUGCAUUUCAUACUUGAUGUCUGGUUUUUAUUUCGUGUCUUUUGGUGCACUAUGGCAUGCGCAUUCUUGAGUGGAAGUUUGGAAAAACUCACUUCAUUUUCGCGAUUUCUGCAUGAUUAUGGCAUUAGGGUUUGGUUUGAGGAAGGAGAUGAUUACGUGUCAUCUUAGGAACCGUUAGAUCCAAGGCAUGUGUUUUAAUCCUGGCCAUUUAUUUGUUUUUGUCCUCUAGUGACUUAAGUACCCGUGACCAAUUGAUACAAGGUUACUUGAUUUAAUUUAUUAAAAUGUUAUUUGUUGUCACGCUGGUUUAAUAAUUGUUUGGACUGGGCCUGCGCUUUCCCGCUCUCCACACCCCCAAGUUCCAGGGCCCAUCAACACUAAUACUUUCUCUUUUCAUUUUCUUUUUUUAAUUUCCAUUUAUUUGCUGUUUUGAUUUUAAUUAUUUUAGAAUAUUUUCUUUAUUCAUAAAAAUCCCCAAAAAUAUUGUCCACAUUUCUUAAUGCCUUAUUUAAUUUUAUUUAAUUUUUAUUUUCGUAUUUAUUUAAUGUUAAUAUUUUAUUUCAAUUAUUAAUUCUAAAUGGUUCUUUUAAGCAUACCUUNUUUAUUUAAUUUUUAUUUUCGUAUUUAUUUAAUGUUAAUAUUUUAUUUCAAUUAUUAAUUCUAAAUGGUUCUUUUAAGCAUACCUUUAAUUCUUGAUUUUAUUUUCAUGGCUUAAAAUUAUUUUUAGCCUUUGAUUUUUGGGAUGAAGGUUGACCACUGUCCCAUGGUCAACCUGACAUUUUCUUGAUUUUUUAUUUCACAAUUUUCUAUUUAUUUGAUAACUAUUUUGGUUGGUUGACUUUUAGUUUGACCUUUAUUUUAUUUCAAUUAAUUCAUGAACCAAUUUUCAUUAUUUUUGAAAUCUUUUUGGGGGAUGAUGAUGUCCUGACCCCACCUCAUUUAGUUUAAUUUUUCAUAAUUUUCUUGAUUAAUUUGCUAUUUAUUUGACAUUUUUUAAGUUGACUUGAGCUUUCAGUUGCCUUCUUUAUGAUCGAUGUUUGAGUUAGGGAUUGCUUAUGGCAAUUGAAGAGACCUUUUGAUCCUCCCUUGUUCAUCUCAUAUGCCAUGUAUUAGAGGCCUUUUAUCUUGAUUUUAUUUGGUCCUUACCUCAUUUCCGGAUUAAAUUUUUCAGUGGACCCCUUUUGUGCAUCUUUUCAUCUGUCUGAUUCAUCUGAUAUUUGUUAUACUUGUUUCUUUCAUCCAUGCCUUCUUUUGCUUGAUUGUUUAACAUGUUCAUACUUCCUAUGCAUUGUUUAAUGCUCCAUCAUAUCAUUCUUUGAUUAUUUGACUUGAUUAUAUACCUGUCAUAUACUCUUAUUGUUUGAUAACUGUUGCCUACUUGUAUGAUGAUUGAGGCAUAUAUUCUUAUUGUUUGGUCGCCGUGAACCAUCCCCAUUUGUAACAAAUGUACCCCUCUCCCAAGAAGUGUAUAAUAUUUAUUCUCUCAUUCUUUAUUCAUCUGUUAAUACAAGAAUUAAAACGAACAUCCGAUAAUCAUUUCAAAACAAGAUCAAAAGCUCGACCCAACGUCGAGUAAUCAUUUUCAAAACUUAACAGAACCAGCAUGUAUUCAUUCAUCCUCUUGUAAGUCGAUCUCCUCAGGCAUCGCCAUUUCUCUUGUAAGUCGAUUGCUUCAGGAAACACCAUCUACCUCUUGUAAGUCGAUUGCUUCAUACAUCGCCAUCUACCCUUAUCCGUGGCUCCUCUCCUCGCUCCAUCCGUCAACUCUUGUUCUGUUUAGGUAACACCCAUUAGGUAGAACCUUUUGUAUUAUAACAUAGGUAGAAUUCCCUUAUUCUUUGCAUGCUAACAUUAGGUAGAUGUUUCCCUUCUGUAAAUCCUAAUACAUAGGUCCACAUUGCAUGACAACUCUAGGGCAGAGCUUCCCCACUUUUAGACCUUCCGUGCGUCUCCGAUCUUGUGGCAUGUCAAUCCGUUCUAUUGCAAAGAGGUAACUGCCUAAGACUCGAUUAGAGCUUCCCCACUUUUAGACCUUCCGUGCGUCUCCGAUCUUGUGGCAUGUCAAUCCGUUCUAUUGCAAAGAGGUAACUGCCUAAGACUCGAUUCAGCGAGCUGCGACACCUACUGCUAGGAUGUUGACCACAUUGCCCACUUUCCUUUGACACAGCUGGUGUCCUCUUUUGUAAGUCCAUGUUCAGAUGGAAAUCCAUAACCCCUAGUUAGGCGAACUACGACAACUCUGAUUCUCAUGUUCAGAUGAGAUACGUAGGCACGAGAUGUGAUGUCUUGCCGAGUUUGACUAACGACUAACAACUAAUCCUUGUUUACUUUCCCCCUUGCUGCGAUUCUUUUCUCUCGCCCUCGUUGCGAUCGAGACCUUCCCUUUCUCUUGCCCUAGUUGCAAUCGAGACCCUUGUUCCCGUAGUUAGCUGAACUACGUUUUUCUCUGAUUCUCAUGUUCAGAUGAGAUACGUAGGCAUAAGACACGAUGUCUUAGAGAGCACACUUCUCUUUCGCCCAUAGGUAGCUGAGCUACGAAGACUCUGAUUCUCAUAUUCAGAUGAGAUACGUAGGCAGUGGAUGCGACAUCCUUGCGAGUCAUUUUAUUUUAACCCUUCUUUUAGUAAAUAGUACCUUAGAUAUACCUACACCCUUUAGACUAGAACAACAAGAGUGGAUCCCGUAGAGUACUACAGAUGCGUAGGGGUGCUAAUACCUUCCCUUCGCAUAAUCGACUCCCGAACCCAAGAUUUGGUUGUGAGACCUUGUCUUUUCCUUCUCUUCAGGUUUUCUUCAAUCGUUUCCUUUCCCUUCUUUGGGAUAAAUAACGAACGGUGGCGACUCUUCUAUUUCUUUUUCUUCGCCGGUUGUUUUUUUUCGCACCAGUUGCGACAGCUGGAGACUCUGUUGGGGACCCGGUUUCCCUAUGCGAAUCCCUCCUAGCUUUUGUGAGUUUCUUGUUUGUUGGGUGUUUAUUCUUUUAUACAAUUAUUUACUUUCAGCAUUUAUCUGCUUUAUCUUAUUGCAUUAUGUACAUAUGAUUGUUGUAUCUGUUGGAUCUGUGGGGUUGGUUGUUUGUUGGGAUGGGUUGUUCUAUGAGAGAUAAGCCCACUACCCAGGCUUGAGCGUACACACAGGUUUUAGAGUGGAUAGUCAUGAGGCUUGCAUAGUAUGUUGCUACGUUAAGUCGUUCACGAAGACCCACACCAUGAUGAGGUUUCUUUUGGAUAUAUUCUGUCCUAUGAGUGUUCCAUAACGACAGACGUUCCUUUAGAAAUCGUCGACUCUGGUGACCAUUUCCCGAGGACUCAGUCGAGGGCUCUCCUCCGAGACGCGGUUAUGUUAGCUCUGGUGGGCACAUUCUCGCUGCUCAAUCCGAGGACCCCGAGGCUGGGAAUUGCUUUUAGGAUGUCCUGUUGAGGGGAGUCAGUGGAGGUCUUUUGUCUCGUAAUAAUGCUAAACCUUCAGUAGUAAACGUAUUAUUCUCGACUGAAGGACUAGAAGCUAAUGAACUUCUGUUCUUGGAACCUACCAGUGAGGGGCGGGCUAAAUUCAGGAAACCUUAACCUUCAACCAACCCAGUUUUCUGGUAUUCUUGUUGGAACAGAGCUUUGAUCUCUUAUAUGUUCCUCAGUGGUUUUCUCUUCAGACAGUGCGACCUGACAGUUGUUCAAGCAGAUACAGCAAUCAUGAUUCCCAUGUCACUGCAUUGCAUCACAUCAUUUUGCAUUCAUAUCAUUUAACACAUGUUUAUCCAUUACUAGGGGUUUAUAUCUUCUUCUUGAUUCUAGUCGGGGUUUUCUGGUUCUCCUAAGAUGGAUAUUGGCAGAAAAAGACAUGUCGCCUACAGAUUUCUUGUGGUUUGUUUGGAUCCCAUUCAACAGCUGAUGAAGUUAACGAAUCAUGAUUCUCUAGAAGGAUUCCGGAAGGAUUAUGGUUUGAUUCUAAGCUUCGUUACGGCUCUCUCCAAAGAUCAACACGAUGCUCUCUUUACACUGCUGCAGUUCUAUGACCCUACAUUGAGGUGUUUUACAUUCCCAGAUUAUAUCUUAGUCCCUACUUUGGAGGAGGUUGCCAGUUUUCUCAGAGUUCCUAUCAAGCCGCAGUUGCUAUUCUACAAUUCCAAGUUUCUGCCCGAUUUCAGCAUGGUUGCUUCAGCCACAUAUUUGGGGAAAUCAGUCUUGGAGUUUAAUAUGAGUCAGAAAGGAGGAGUUAAUGGUUUUCAUCUGAGUUUCCUAGUAGGAGAAGCCAAGAAGAAGCUUGAAGAUGGUGAUUGGAGGUGUUUCAAUGCUGUGUUGGCUCUUUGUGUAUACGGGAUUGUCUUGUUCCCUAAUGUUCCAAAAUUUGUGGACGUAGACGCAAUACACCUCUUCGUGUUGGGAAAUCCGGUGGCGACCUUGCUAGGAGAUUUCUUUCAUUCAGUGCAUCACAGGAAUGAGAAUAGAAAAGGAGGAUUGGUGAAUUGUUGUGCACCCUUGUUUCAUAAGUGGUUCAGUUCUCACCUACCCAAAUCAGGAGCGUUCAUUGACUUCAAGGACUCGUUGAGUUGGUCGAAGAGAUUGAUGGGGAUAAGAGCUAAAGACAUUUCUUGGUGGUCUGACCAGAACUUGCUUCGGGCGGAUAUCAUUCACAGUUGCGGGAACUUCCCGAAUGUGCCAUUGGUAGGAAGAAAAGGAGGGAUCAACUAUAAUCCUUCUCUAGCAGUCAGACAAUUUGGGUAUGCUUUGAAAACUCCGCCUUUGGAAAAAGAUGUGGAAGAAUCUCUGUUUUUCCAUUCCUCAUCUGAUUUGACUGUAUCCCAUAAGGCAGUUGAGGCUUGGCUCAAAGUGAUCAAGAGAGGAAGGACUGUGCUUGGAAAGGGAGAUUGCAGGACUUAUCAUCAAUAUGAAGAUUGGCUUCGGGGAAGAGUCGAAGAGUUUGGUCUGCCUUUUCCUAUUAAAGAACCUUUGUAUCCACCUACUCCUGAGCAGUCAACGAUGGUGAGUCGAGAGGAGUAUGACAAAUUGAAGAAUGCCAUUGAGGAACUUCAAACUAAAAACUCAGAGUUGCGUGUGAAAUUGCAAGAAUGUAUGCAUCUAUACCAUGAGGCAGAAUAUCAGAAGGGGGAAACUGUCAGAUUGCAAGAGGAAGCAGAGAAGAAACUGGUUGUGGAGGUUAACUUCUUCAGGAAAACUGACAAAGCCUUGGGGUCAUCCAGUUCUGAGUUGAGGCAAGUCAAGCAGUAGUUAACAGAUGCCUGUGGUAUGUUAGCUGGGUGGCAAGAGCAGUGGGAUGCAUUUUCAGCUUCUCGGAAGGCAAAAGAGAAGGAGAUGAUGGCCCAAUUGACCGGUCAGAUGGAGAAGUUGAAGACUCUGCUGAAGGAGAAGAACAAUGAGCUCUUGUGUGCCCGUACAACCAAUGGUUACAUCACAGAUCAACUCGACAAUGCUCAAGUACAUAUUGAAGAACUCAAGGUGCUGGCGGGUUUGAAGAAAUCUAGACUUGAAGAGGUGUUCGUGGAGGACGAUGGGAAUUACUACAUAGAGCACAUCAACGAGCUGGAUGGGAUUAUUCACAAGAGGAAUUUUCUUAUUCGGUGUUUAACAGAAUCUCUAGAUCAUCCUGACACGGUGGCACUACUGGCUGAAGUUAGGAGCAGUCCUUAUGGGUUGUAUACAGAAGGCUGAUUCCUGAUUUUUGUUCCUCUCUUUACUUGUUAUGUUUCUUUGUGGUUUUGUAGUGAUGAUCCACAGGCUUGUUGUGGAGAUCCUCUUUUGAUGUACUGUUGGCUAAGGCCAUUCUCUUUGAACUCGUUUGUAUGACGAUUUCUCUUUAUUGCAUCUUGGUCUCAAAAGUUUAUCCACGGCUCGAUCUUCUUGUACUGUUCAUCUGAUGUGAGACUGGAAUUAAGGGGUAGAGUACCCUUUGGAAUUGAUAAACAUGUCAUUGCAUUUGCACAUUCAUUAGCAUGUCUUGCAUAACAGGUACCGCCGCAAUGUUCUCAUUUUGUUUGAUAUUCCACUAGUAGGAUAGCUGACUCAGGCAUUCACCGGUACGGUACCCGCAGGAAUCAACAAAGAGCAAUGGAAGGCCUACAAGAAGAGCUUGUUGAGAUGAGGAUUUGCAUGAAUCAGUUCAUGGACGUGGUCCAAGGAGUGGCUCAGGGACAGCAGAAGCUCAGACAGAUGAUACAGAGGAAUCCCCCUACUACUCAACCAGAGAUGGUGAUUGAUCCUCCAGCUGGAGAGACCAAUGGACCCAAUAGACCGGGGCCUAUCCCUAUCCCACGUGUCAACCCUGAUCAACAACCCAUUCAUGAUGAUCAAGAGGAUCAGUUCACUCUGCUUCAAGAGGACUUUGGCAUGGGCCAUGGCAUGGACCUUAUGUUUAGGAGGUUGGAGGAGAGGUUGAAGGUUGUGGAAGGGCAGAAUGCUCUUGGUGUGGACGUUGCUGACUUGGGGCUGGUCCCAGGCGUGAGAGUUCCACCAAAGUUCAGAGUCCCAGUCUUUGACAAAUAUAAUGGCAACUCUUGCCCGAAGAGUCACGUGCAAGCUUACUUCCGCAAGAUGGUUGUGUAUUCUGAUGAUGAGAAGCUGCUCAUGUACUUCUUCCAGGACAGUCUAGCUAGGGCAUCCUUGGAAUGGUAUAUGAGGCUGGAUAGAGCCCAUAUUUGCUGCUGGAGAGAUUUGGCUGAGGCUUUUGUGAAGCAGUAUCAGUACAAUGUUGAUAUGGCACCUCACAAGACUCAACUCCAGAAUCUGUCUCUCAAGAGCAAUGAGUGCUUCAGAGAAUAUGCUCAACGCUGGAGAGAGACAACUUCCUGUGUUCAACCUCCGAUGAUGGAGAAGGAGAUGGCCAACAUGUUCAUGAACACACUUCCCGGGUCUUACUUGGAGCGUCUGGUGGGUUGCAACGCCUCCAAUUUCGCUGAUGUGGUCUCUACCGGUGAGAGGGUGGAGAACUACUUGAAGACGUGCAAGAUCCAAAGUGGGGUUGGAUCAUCAUUAGGGGCGAAGAAGCCGUUCAUACAGGGAUAAAAGAGGAGAGAAGGGGAUUGAAAUUCAAUAUCUUCUUAUCAGAACAGGGGUAACCGGAGGAACAGUUUUCAGAACUACCAUCAACAACCUUAUGUUGCAGUUGUGACCAUUUUGGCUGCAGCACCAGUGCAACAACAAUAACCUCAGCGUCAACAAACUCAAUACCAACAACCACAGGGUAACAGAGCUGCCUACCAACAGGGACAGAGGAUGUUGGACAGGCGUUUCGACACUCUUCGGAUGUUGCAUGCCCAGUUGUUUCCCAGCCUUCAACAGCUACAACUUGUGCAGAUACACACUUUGACUCCUCCUAUUGGCAGGCUUCCAGUGGGUUAUGACGCCAAUGCUAGGUGUAAUUUCCACUCUGGGGCACCUGGCUACUUUAUUGAGAACUGCAAAGCUUUUAAGCACACAGUUCAGGACCUUAUUGAUUCGAAGACCAUCAACUUUGUGCCAGCUCCUAAUGUUGUCAACAAUCCCUUGCCGCAACAUGGUGGUGCAAACGUUAACAUGGUGGAAGGAGAAUUCAAAGUCGUCAAGGAUGUGUUGAAGCUGAAGACACCGCUGUUGGAAAUCAAAGAAUACUUGUUGAAGGCAGAUGUUUUCCCCGGUUGUGGGAGCGGCUAUUUGGGUUGUACUGUACAGAGUGGGGGUUGUGUGAGGCUGGAGCAGGGUAUUCAGGCCUUGCUCGACGAUGGUAUCCACCAAGCUGAAGACCUAUCUGCCCAAAGGUCUAUUGAAGGGGUUGUUGUAGGGGAUGUUGAAGAGAAUGCUGAUGUUGAUCCUCUCUUUCCUGAAGAUGCCGUGGAUGCUAAAGAAUUUACAAAUGUUGUUCCUGCUGAUUUUGUAAUCCCUAGUGAUGUAAUUAAUUCUUCAGAUGUUGUUGUUGAUAUUCCAAACAAUGUAUUUAAUUAUGAUGUAUUUGUUGAGCCUGAUUCCGAUGUUUCGGAUGCUUGCAUUUCAAUGAAUAAGAUUUCUAAGUAUGACUGUGAUGUUGCCACUAUCACAAUUUUCUACCCAACUGCUUAGAUCAGUGUGCCAGUAGCGCAACCGGUGCCACCAGUGCGACCAUCCACUAUGACCAUCACGACCCCUGGUCCUUUACCUUUCACCAGCGAAAGGGCCAUUCCUUGGCAUUAUGGGGGGAGUGUGUACACGCAUGAUCAUGGAGUGGAGCAGCCACUGAAAAUAGAAGAGGUGCAGGAUCAGAGGUCUGAACCUGGAGUUGAGGUAAAAGAUCCCGCAGUGGACAAUAUUGGUGGAAUCGGGCGAUUCACCAGAAGUGGUAGACUAUUCUCACCACCGGUUACCCAACUUGAUAGUGCUGAUGCCGCGGCGAAGGCCAAAGGCAAGCAAGUUGUGAAUGAGGGUACCUCUGCACCACAGGCUGGCUCUGACCCUACUUUUGCGAAGGAUGUGGACGAGCUCUUGAGAAUCAUAGAGAAAAGUGACUACAAGGUAGUCGAUCAGUUGAUUCAGACGUCGUCCAAGAUAUCUAUUCUAUCACUCCUGCUGUGUUUGGAGGCACACAGGGAGGCAUUGUUGAAGGUCCUUAAUGCUGCAUAUGUGCCUCAGGAGAUCUCAGUGAACCAACUGGAAGGGAUCAUUGCAAAUGUUCAUGCGAGCAACAGGUUGGGUUUUACUGAUUCUGACUUGACACCAGCUGGACGCAAUCAUAACAAGGCUUUGCACAUCUCGAUGGAAUGCAAAGACACCGUGUUAUCCCAUGUUCUGGUGGAUACAGGUUCCUCUCUCAAUGUGUUACCCAAGAGAGCCCUGUCAAGGUUAGAUGUAGAAGGUUUGAUCUUGAAGCCUUCCGAUCUUGUUGCGAGAGCCUUCGGUGGUUCUAAGAGGUCGGUGUUCAGAGAGGUAGAAUUGCCAAUUUAGAUUGGAUCACAAACCUUCAACACUGUCUUCUAUGUGAUGGAUAUCAGUCCUUCGUAUAGCUGCUUGUUGGGUCGUCCUUGGAUCCACAAUGUUGGGGCAGUCUCCUCGACCUUGCAUCAGAAGAUCAAGUUCCCGGUCAACAAACGAAUUAACACUGUCUGUGGUGAGGAGGAUAUUCUAGUCAGUCACUUGUCUACAUUCAAGUAUGUAGAGGUAGAAGGUGAGAUUCAUGAGACCCUGUGUCAGGCCUUUGAGGCAGUUCAAGUCAAGGAUGCAGCUCCGGUGGAAGAGGUUAAAGUAGGUGCCUCUAUUUCGUCCUUUAAGCAGGCGCAGGCCUUGGUAAAUUCAGGUGUUGCUCCCGGUUGGGGACGUCUGUUGGAUUUACAUGUAAAGGAAGACAAGUUCGGGAUUGGGUAUCAGCCAACAUUGACUUCUACAACUUCAACGUCUUAGACUCGUCAGGGGCCGAUUACUUUCUCCAGUGCUGGCAUCAUUCAGUAUGGCCAGGUCUCUGCAAUCAACAAAGAAGAUGAAGAUAGUGAUUGCGACAUAGACAACUGGGUGCAUCCAAGGGUCCCGGGUGAAGUUCUCCGCAAUUGGUCUUCUGAAGAGAUUAUCCAAGUCACUCUUCUUGAAGAGUAAUUUUCUUUGUUUGUUUGUGCAUAUCCAAGUCUUACAUUCCGCCCAGGGCGUAAUGACUCAUUGUAGGGCUCAUCUAUGUGAAUACCUGCAUUUUUUAUCAUAAAUAAAGGACGUCUUUUUGCAUUCAAAUAUUUUGUUCACUGUAUCAUUGUAGGGCUCAUCUAUGUGAAUACCUGCAUUUUUUAUCAUAAAUAAAGGACGUCUUUUUGCAUUCAAAUAUUUUGUUCACUGUCUUUCUAUUUUUGCAGUUUUCAAAAAUCAAAAAAUAUUUGGCAAUGUUUUGUUUAGUUUUCACUCAUUAUUCACACUCAUAAGCACAUACCAUCACUCAUGCAGCUGCACGUCACCGGAUCCUAUUGAUAACAGUUCUACUAUGGCUCGCUUCGACUUUGAAAAUCCAAUCUUUCAAGCUGAAGAAGAGGGUGGUGAAGACUGUGAACUCCCUGAAGAACUUGCCAGGUUGUUAAAACAGGAGGAAAGGGUCAUUCAACCGUAUCAAGAGUCAAUUGAAGUGAUUAAUCUUGGCACCGAGGAUGUCAAGAGAGAAAUCAAGAUAGGGGUUGCUUUGGAAGAUAAUGUGAAGAAGGGGCUAAUUGAACUGCUGCAAGAGUAUGUUGACAUUUUCGCUUGGUCUUAUCAGGAUAUUCCAGGGCUUGACACAGAUAUUGUGGUACACCGUUUGCCUCUCAAAGAGGAUUGUCCUCCGGUCAAGCAGAAGCUCAGAAGAACAAGACUAGAGAUGACUGUCAAGAUAAAGGAAGAAGUGCAAAAAUAGUUGGAUGCAGGGUUUCUAGCGGUUACAAAUUAUCCGCCAUGGGUUGCAAAUAUCGUUCCAGUACCUAAGAAGGAUGGAAAGGUACGGAUGUGUGUUGACUACCGGGAUCUGAACAGAGCUAGUCCAAUUAUCCGCCAUGGGUUGCAAAUAUCGUUCCAGUACCUAAGAAGGAUGGAAAGGUACGGAUGUGUGUUGACUACCGGGAUCUGAACAGAGCUAGUCCUAAAGAUGAUUUCCAAUUACCUCACAUCGACGUUUUGGUGGAUAACACGGCUCAGUUCUCGGUUUUCUCCUUCAUGGAUGGCUUUUCUGGCUACAAUCAAAUUAAGAUGGCAUCAGAAGACAUGGAGAAGACAACUUUCAUAACCCCAUGGGGCACCUUCUGCUACAAGGUGAUGUCGUUUGGUCUGAAAAACGUUGGGGCAACAUAUCAACGAGCUAUGGUAACUCUUUUCCAUGAUAUGAUUCAUCAUGAAAUCGAGGUUUAUGUUGAUGAUAUAAUUGCCAAAUCUCAAAUGGAAGAAGAACAUUUAGUGAAUUUGCAGAAACUGUUUGAGCGUUUGAGGAAAUUCAAACUGAGGCUUAAUCCAAACAAGUGUACUUUCAGGGUGAGGUCUGGAAAACCGUUGGGUUUUAUUGUCAGCGAAAAAGGAAUUAAGGUGGAUCCUGCCAAAGUAAAAGCGAUAAAGGUUCAUCUCUCACCUAACAGCCACGUGUGAGCCAAUAUUCAAGCUGUUAAGAAAAGAUCAGGCUAUCAAGUGGAAUGAUGAUUUCCAAAGGGCUUUCGAGAAGAUAAAAGAGUAUUUGAAGAAUCCUCCUAUCCUUAUGCCUCCAGUCCCAAGGAGACCGCUGAUUAUGUAUUUGACAGUACUUGACAAUUCCAUGGGUUGUGUUCUCGGUCAACACGACGAGACAGGUAGGAAAGAGCAUGCCAUCUACUACCUGAGUAAAAAAUUCACAGAUUGCUGAGUCGAUGAACCUCAAUGCAUGGAAAAGACAUGUUUGUGCACUUGCAUGGGCCUGACUAAGCGAUUGAGACGAAUAACAUUGCUGACUCCACACAACCUGUACUGAUCUCCAAGAUGGAUCCAUUCAGAGUAUAUAUUAUAAGCCAGCUCUCACCUGAAGGAUUGCUCAGGUAUGGCAGAUGGGACUGACAGAGUACGAAUCCAGUAUACACCCAGCAAAGCCAAAUCAAAGGGAGUAUUCUGUCAAACUAUCUUGCUCAGCAGCCGAUUGAUGGACUAUAAGCCGAUGAAGUUUGAUUUUCCGGAUGAGACAUCAUGUUCCUCAAGGAGAAAGAUUGUGAAGAGCCAAGUUGUUGGAGGCGACCUGAUCCAGAUGAAAAGUGGACUUUAAUGUUUGAUGGGGCCGUCAAUGCCAAAGGAAGUGGAAUUGGUGUUGUCAUUACCACUCCGAAAGGUGCCCACAUGCCUUUCACCGCUCGUUUGACUUUCGAGUGCACCAAUAAUGAAGUUGAGUAUGAGGCCUGUAUUUUGGGUAUUGAGCAAGCCAUUGAUUUGAGAAUCAAGACUCUGGACAUCUUCGGAGAUUCAGCUCUAGUGAUCAAUCAAGUGAAUGGUGAUUGGAAUACUCUCCAGCCUAAUCUGGCCCCCUAUAGAGAUUACACGAGAAGACUGUUGACUUUCUUCACAACAGUAAAGUUGUAUCAUAUACCUCGUGAUGAGAACCAGAUGGUGUUGGUGUAAUCCCUAGAGGCCAAUACUUUUGGUACUUGUAUCGAAUUAUUUAUUAAUAAUAAAAGGCUUUUUCUUUAUUAUAUUUGUUUAAUAAAGUCCCUAGAAUAGCUAGUCCGUUUAAUGUAUCAAGUAUUACUUAAUCAUGAGAUCACAUUAAACAUAAGGACAUUAUUCUUAAAGUAUUCGUAGUCAAGCUUUAUUGUGAAGUGGGAUAACAUUAAAGCAUGAAGACUAUUAUGUUUAUAGACUGAUGAUCACAUCUCAUGGAUCAUGGAUAAAGAGUUAUCAAGUCUUAAACAUAGGUAUGAAUAUUAAGAGUAAUAUUUAUACUGGAUUGACCCGCUAUGAGAAUACUAUAUAGAAUGUUAUGCAAAGUGUCAUAAGUUAUUCUCAUGGUGAUAAUGGUGUAUACCACCCUUCGACCUGAAACCACUAUGGACCCUAGAUGUAGAGUCGAGUGCUUUAUUGCUGAUCAAACGUUGUCCGUAACUGGAUAACCAUAAAGACAGUUGAUGGGUACUCCACGAAGCAUGCUGAGGGACAUGAGUGACCUAGAUGGAAUUUGCCCAUCCUGCGUAACAGGAUAAAUGUCUAUGGGCCCAAUAUUGAACUGGACAAGGAUGACACGGUCUAUGCCUUGUGUUCAAUAUAGACAUAAGGGCAAAAGGGUAAUUAUACACAUAAGUAUUAUCACAGAAGGAUUUGUCAGAUCACAUGACAUUUUCGUGUCUUGGGUAGCAGUGAUGUGUUGCUAGAUACCGCUCACUGUUUAUUAUGUUAAAUACGUGAUUUAAUAUAAUUGCCAAUGCCGCGAAAACCUACAGGGUCACACACAAAGGACGGAUUGAUGAGAGAUAGAGUAACUAAGGAACACCGUAAGGUACGGUGCACUUAAGUGAAUUGUAGAACAUCGUAAGGUACGGUGUACUUAAGUAGAAUACGAAAUAUGGUAAGGUACCACGCGCUUAAGUGAUUUUGGCAUAUUAUAAGAUAUGGGCCACAUACACUUGAGUGGGCUUUUUAGCUUGCAGCCCACACAAGUGGUUCUAUAAAUAGAACCCUUGUGUAGAAGCAUUUGUGCAGUUGCAAUUUUGUUUUCUCUCUCUCUCACUCAAAGCCUUCAUUCGUAGCAGCUAGCACUGAGAUUGAAGGAAUCCGUUCGUGUGGACUGAGUAGAGGCGUUGUCAUCGUUCAACGUUUGUGAUCGCCACAAGAGGUAACGAUUCUAUCACUGAUCAUGCCCAUUCGUAAGGAUCAUUAAAGGAGAAAUUUUAAAUUCUGCUGUGUUUUGGAUCGCCAUUCAACUUCAGAUGGCAGAUGCUCUUGCUACUUUAUCCUCCAUGAUCAAGGUGAUUAGGUGGAACUAUGCUCCCAGGAUCGAUGUUAUGCGCCUUGAUAGGGCCGCGUAUGUGUUUGCUGGUGAACGGGUGGUUGAUGACAAGCCCUGAUAUCACGACAUCAAAUGCUUUCUGAAGAAUCAAGAGUACCCUGCAGGGGCAUCCAACAAUGAUAGAAAGACUUUGAGAAGAUUGGCAGACAAUUUCUUCUUGAACAAAGACGAUGUGCUGUAUAAAGGAACAUCGAUAUGGUUUUGCUCAGAUGCGUGGAUAGACACGAAGCGGACAUGUUAAUGCAGGAAGUUCAUGAAGGCUCCUUCGGUACCCAUGUCGACGGAUAUGCAAUGGCUAAGAAGUUGUUGAGAGCGGGUUAUUACUGGAUGACCAUGGAAUCUGAUUGUUUCAAGUAUGCUCGGAAGUGUCAUAAAUGCCAGAUUUAUGCUGAUAAGGUGCAUGUGCCGCCAAAUCCUCUGAAUGUGAUGUCUUCGCCGUGGCCGUUUGCUAUGUGGGGCAUUGAUAUGAAUGAUAAGGUGCAUGUGCCGCCAAAUCCUCUGAAUGUGAUGUCUUCGCCGUGGCCGUUUGCUAUGUGGGGCAUUGAUAUGAUUGGAAAGAUUGAGCCGACUCCUUCCAAUGGGCAUCGCUUCAUCCUUGUUUCCAUCGACUAUUUCACCAAGUGGGUCGAAGCAGCGUCAUUUGCGAAGGUCACCAGACAUGUGGUUGCCCGAUUCAUUAAGAAAUAAAUCAUUUGUCGUUAUGGGAUUCCCGAAAGAAUCAUUACUGAUAAUGGUUCUAAUCUCAAUACCAAAAUGUUAAAGGAGUUGUGCAAGAACUUCAACAUUUAACAUCACAAUUCUUCCCCUUAUCGUCCUAAGAUGAACGGUGUUGUUGAGGCAGCAAAUAAGAAUAUAAAGAAGAUUGUGCAGAAGAUGGUCGUUACGUACAGAGAUUGGCAUGAAAUGCUACCCUUCACCUUGCAUGGGUACCGUACUUCAGUACGUACGUCGACCGGGGAAACCCCUUACUCCCUUGUGUAUGGUAUGGAAGCAGUCCUACCUGUUGAAGUGGAGAUUCCUUCUCUAAGAGUCCUGCUGGAUGUCAAGUUAGAUGAAGUUGAAUGGAUUCAGACAAGGUUCAAUGAGCUGAGUCUUAUCGAAGAGAAGCGAAUGGCAGCCAUCUGUCAUGGGAAGUUAUAUCAGAGUCAGAUGAAGAGAGCCUUUGAUCAGAAAGUGCGUCCUCGAUGCUUCCAAGUCGGAGAUUUAGUGUUGAAAAGGAUCCUUCCUCCUCAGACAGAUCACAUGGGCAAGUGGACUCCUAACUAUGAUGGACCAUAUAUUGUCACCAAGAUUUUUGAUGGUGGAGCCUUAAUGCUUGCAACUAUGGAUGGUGAAGACUUCACUUCCCCUGUGAACUCAGACACAGUUAAAAAAUACUUCGCAUAAAAUAGACCCGCUGGACAAUAAAAAGAAUAGUCCAGGCAAAAAAUGGGCAUCCCGGCGAACCAAGAAAAUGAAAAAGGUUCGGGCAAAAGUUAGGGGUUAAAAAUGAAAAGAUUGUACACCCGGUAAGUUGAAAAACUGAAAAGGCAACUUAGGCAAAAAUGGGUAUCCCGGUGGAUUGAAAACCCGAAAGGGCGAUCCAGGCAAAAGUUAGGGAUUAAGCGAAUGACUGUGUUCUGAGUAGUUCUGAAUCUCAUUUCGUGUCGAUAACUGGAAACUUUCGAAGGAUAGGAAACAGUCCAAUCACCUCUUUCAGAAAGCUGAUCAUGUGGAGGAUCUUGAAGACGAGCGAGUCAUAGCAGAAUUGGAACCCGAUAGAAAUCCCUUUCACAUUGCUAUUAGACUAAUUUCUGUUUUUAUCUUUUAUGCAAUUACCUCUUUCCAGGGAUUGCUUCCUGAUGUAAAUUCCUAUUCAAAGGCCAUUCAAUCAAUAAAAUCAUGUUAUUCAGUAUAUCUCUGUUUUCAUUUUCAUUUUACUGUUUUGUUUGCAAAAAUGACGUCCGAAUUUUUGAUAAACAUUGCAUCAUGAAACAUAAGUAUAUCUCUGUUUUCAUUUUCAUUUUACUGUUUUGUUUGCAAAAAUGACGUCCGAAUUUUUGAUAAACAUUGCAUCAUGAAACAUAAGAGCUUUACAGGUACAUGCUUAAUAAACAUUUAAAAUUUAUGUAAAUUUUAAGUGCUUUGGAUCGUCUAUUCAGAACAGGAACACUCGGGGCAUUUCCUUAAGGUUCCCAACAGAUGAUCGCGGAUGUUCUGCUUCAACAGUUGGUACUUGGUAUCUUAUCCCUGCAAAGUUGGUCAAAGCAUUGGAUUUUUCAAUCCCCAGCAGGUUCUCACUACUGUACUCUCCCCAUGCAUUUGUUUCAGAUUAUACAUUCAACAGUAGAGUCGACAGUGUCAGACUGUAUAUCCCUAGUAGAGUCGACAGUGUCAGACUGUAUAUCCCCAGCGGAGUUGACAGGGUUAGACUGUAUAUCCCCAGCGGAGUUGACAGUGCUAGACUGUAUCUUCCCAGCAGAAGCAGCUACUCCUCAGAGUUCGAUGCUAGAUCGAUGAUCUCGACGCUAGAUCCAUGAUCUCUUUCCUUGAAGCAGAAUCUCGGUACCAUAUCGGUGUUUGCUUCCCCUGCUGAGUCGUCUCUCUCGCAGAUAUUAGUUGCCAGAACCACUGUCGCUUUCCUCUGCAGCAAGCUUUCAGUGCCAUUCUCUCCCCAGUCAGAUUCUCGGUAUUUUGUUAUUGCUAGAACACCGCAUGGCCGGUCAUUUCCCCACAGAGUUCAUCGUGCUGUGUGUCUCCAACAGCAUCGCCAGGGUCCAGAAGAUUGCGAUCAUUUCCCCAGUAGAAUUCUUUGCCUCGGCUUGGUGUUCUCUUUAACCUAGCAUUUCGCAUCCCUACAUGUAGAAUCAUAUCGUAUUGCAUCCUCCCAAAUCGCGUAGCAUUUCCAUUUUCAUGGAGCAUUACGCCAUUGAAAAAUUCAAACAUACGCAUGUAAAGCAUAAGACAUUCUCGGUAUCCCAAGUGAUAAGCCAGAAAUUUGUUUCCAGUACUCAGGCUGAAGUUUGUUCAUGACUUAUCCUUUAUUAUUCCCAGUAGGGGUUGUUGGCCCACACGCCGCCUCAAUUAUUAUUUUCCCUAUUUCUGCCGAUGCUGACAGGCAUGAAAGUUUUCCGGUAUCCAGACCGAAGUGGCAUUCAGGCCAGUUUUCUGAUGUUCAGAUCAAAGAAGUUUCCGACGUUCAGGUCGAUGCAACUUGUGGCAUUCAGGCCAGUUUUCUGGUAUCCAGACUGAAGUGGCAUUCAGGCCAGUUUUCCGAUGUUCAGAUCGAAGAAGUUUUCGAUGUUCAGGUCGACGCAACUUGUGGCAUUUAGGCUAGUUUUCCGGUAUCCAGACCGAAGUGGCAUUCAGGCCAAUUUCCGGUAUUCCGACCGAAGUGGCAUUCAGGCCAGUUUUCCGGUAUCCAGAACGAAGUGGCAUUCAGGCCAGUUUUCCGGUAUCUAGACCGAAGUGGCAUUCAUGCCAAUUUUCCGAUGUUCAGAUCGAAGAAGUUUCCGACGUUCAGGUCGAUGCAACUUGUGGCAUUCAGGCCAGUUUGCCGGUAUUCAGACCGAAGUGGCGCUCAGGCCAAUUUCCCAGUGUUCAGACCAAUGUUUGAUAAUCUAGUAUCUUUCGAUGCUCAGAUCAGAGUCGUUUCCAGUAUUCAGAUUGAUGAGUGGCAUUCAGGCUAUGGUUAUUUCUGUGUUACCAUUUAUUUUGGUAUUCAGGCUAACAUUCCUUCUUUCGGUGUUCAGACCGAUUAUCACCGUAUUAGACGGAUUCUUUUUUCAAGACCAUUUCUUUGUCGAUCCUGACAAGCAUUAUUACUUCUUUUUUUCACUUCAGUGUAAAUUUUCGGGCUUUUAUUGUAUUCAAUCCCUUGAUACCUCGAAAGUGAGAAAGUCGUUGCUAUCUUCUUUUCGGGUCUCUAGUUGAUUGAAUAGGGGCAACUGUAAUACCCCAAAAUUUACCCUUCAUUUUUUCUGGAAGCAUGGGAUUAUGUUUUACAUUUCAUUAGCAUCAUACUAGGUCAUACUCAUUGCAUACUGCAUUAGUGACAUGGAAAUCAGGUUUUGAUUGAUCACUCCUUGACAGAAGGAGCCCACGCAAAGCAAGAUUGAGAAUUGGGCUUCAUUCUCUAAGCAUACAAGUCUCAAAGGUCUCAGGGGGAUCUAGGUGUCUUAUUAUGGUCCUUAGCUCAUCAGUGAAAGAUUCAGAGCUAUCAGAGUGUUCAUCAGGAUUUAAUCAAGAAAUUAGGGUUUCAUGGCUACCUGCAACAGGAAAUGUUUGGUUGGAAGUAGAGGAGCUCAUCCAUGUCAUGAUUGGAGAGGCAUCUUGGCCUAGGAAGACUCACAAUUAUCUCAGAAAGAUCCAUUAUACCUGCAACAGGAAAUGUUUGGUUGGAAGUAGAGGAGCUCAUCCAUGUCAUGAUUGGAGAGGCAUCUUGGCCUAGGAAGACUCACAAUUAUCUCAGAAAGAUCCAUUGGCAAGCAGUGCAAUCAGUCCCUGAUCAUUUUUUCCCUAAAAUUAGGGUUUGGUAAAAAAUCAGUUUAUUUCUUAUUCUUUGUGUGAAACUCUUUUCCAUGGCCCUCCGUAUGUCCACAAGGGUCUACAUACAAAAAAUCAGCUCUUUAUUUGAGUCAGAAGUACUUCAAUUGAUAAAUGGAAUCGGGAAUCAGACAGUUUGGGAAAAGUCAACUGUGGGGCCAGAAAAGUCAACUCUUGACAUUUUGAGAGUGGAAUCUCAAAAUCCAUGCCUAGGGGAUCCUACAUGUGAAAAUUUGAUCAAGGUUGGAUCUUGGAUUCAUCAUUUAAUCAGGAAUUGGAAAAGUUACGUAAUUUGGAAAUGGUUGACUUUCCAUUUAGGGCAAGUUUUCAUGAUUGUUGCACUCACUUUAAGCCCAUUUUCCAUCAAGAUAAAAGCUCCAUUUGAAAAUUUCUCCAACAUGAAAGUUGUUCCUCUUUGCUUCCAGCUCGUCUAUGAUAUAAAGUUUGCUCCAGUUUGGAUCAAAUUGAGAUAGUUAUGCUUGGUCAAAGUGAGACAUUUUUUAGGACACAUUAGAAAAUUUCUAAGUCCAAAGUCUUCAAAGUUUGUCAAGACUUCUUGGCCAGUUUUCUUGCACUUCAAGGCACAAUGAAAAUGUUUUCUUCACAACAAUUAUACCUUGCAUGUCCUCUUUCAACCUCCUUUUGGAAUCAUCUCAUUUGGAUCCAUGGUUUGAGAGAUGCAUUCAUCUAAAGUUGGCAUCAUGACUUGAAUUUCUAGGCAGCAUGUUAGGCCAAACUGGCCCAACCAUUUUGGCAUGGUGAGACCUGAUCUUGAGGCCCAUUUUUCACCUUCUUCCAUUCAUCAUUUCCACUUGUGCUCAACAUGAAAGAUGCUAUACUCCAUGAGGUCUUGCUAUUGUUUGCAUUAUUUCAUCAUUUGGUGGCUUGCUCAUCAAGAUACAUGGCCACAAAGUCACCAUCUUGGACUUAUUUCCUUGCCUGCCAAACCAGAUCAAUAAUGCUGCACAAACCAAGCCAGUUUUCUGUUUUCCUCAUUUGGCCAUGCACUUUUUUUUCCACCCACUUAAACUUUGCCAAAAUAAGCAACUUUCUAACACCACCUCACUUUACAUCUUUUGCUCAUAAACUAAAACAGAUUGUGUAAGAGCCCAUUAACAAUAUAUGACCCAUCAUAUUUAAGCACAAAAACCCUAAAUCUGAAGGCCAUAAUGAAUUUUCGAACUAAGCAAGGAGGGAGUUCAUUCAAGUCAGAUUUCAUUCCUUUUCCUUUUCUCAAAGUUGAAGUUUCAAAGCACCAUUCUUCUUCCAUUUUCUCCACAACCAAGAGGCAGUGGACUUGGCUUCCACGAGGUAAUCAUCUUACUCCUUCUUCCAUGGCCAUGUAUAGCUUGUUAUGCUCAUCAUUAUGCUUGCUUCAUGCCAUUACCAUGCUCAUCAUCAUGCUGGUUUCCAUGUUAAUAUUAUGUUAUGCUCAUUUCUGAAGCCCUCAACAUGAGGCAAUGUUCAUGUUGUGGAUUUGUUUUGUUUAUUUCUGCUCACACUCGUGGCAUGUUGUCCUCUUGUUGUCAAUAUUUCUCCAUGAUUAAGCCAUCAUUUAACCAAAAACAAGUCAUCACGUUAAUCCUUGCAUUUCAUACUUGAUGUCUGGUUUUUAUUUCAUGUCUUUUGGUGCACUAUGGCAUGCGCAUUCUUGAGUGGAAGUUUGGAAAAACUCACUUCAUUUUCGCGAUUUCUGCAUGAUUAUGGCAUUAGGGUUUGGUUUGAGGAAGGAGAUUAUUACGUGUCAUCUUAGGAACCGUUAGAUCUAAGGCAUGUGUUUUAAUCCUGGCCAUUUAUUUGUUUUUGUCCUCUAGUGACUUAAGUACCCGUGACCAAUUGAUACAAGGUUACAUGAUUUAAUUUAUUAAAAUGUUAUUUGUUGUCACGCUCGUUUAACAACUGUUUGGACUGGGCCUGCGCUUUCCUGCUUUCCACACCCCCACGUUCCAGGGCCCAUCAGCACUAAUACUUUCUCUUUUCAUUUUCUUUUUUUAAUUUCCAUUUAUUUGCUGUUUUGUUUUAAUUAUUUUAAAAUAUUUUCAUUAUUCAUAAAAAUCCCCAAAAAUAUUGUCCACAUUUCUUAAUGCCUUAUUUAAUUUUAUUUAAUUUUUAUUUUCGUAUUUAUUUAAUGUUAAUAUUUUAUUUCAAUUAUUAAUUCUAAAUGGUUCUAUUUAUUUAAUUUUUAUUUUCGUAUUUAUUUAAUGUUAAUAUUUUAUUUCAAUUAUUAAUUCUAAAUGGUUCUUUUAAGCAUACCUUUAAUUCUUGAUUUUAUUUUCAUGGCUUAAAAUUAUUUUUAGGCUUUGAUUUUUGGGAUGAAGGUUGACCAGUGUCCCAUGGUCAACCUGACCUUUUGUUGAAUUUUUAUUUCACAAUUUUCUAUUUAUUUGAUAAUUAUUUUGGUUGGUUGACUUUUAGUUUGACCUCUAUUUUAUUUCAAUUGAUUUAUACACCAAUUUUCAUUAUUUUUAAAAUCUUUUUGGGGGAUGAUGAUGUCCUGACCCCACCUUAUUUAGUUUAUUUUUUCAGAAUUUUCUUGAUUAAUUUUCUAUUUAUUUGACAUUUUUUAAGUUGACUUGAAUUUUCAGUUGACUUCUUUACGAUCGAUGUUUGACUUAGGGAUUGCUUAUGGCAAUUGAAGAGACCUUUUGAUCCUCCCUUGUUCAUCUCAUAUGCCAUGUAUUAGAGGCCUUUCAUCUUGAUUUUAUUUGGUCCUUACCUCAUUUCCUGAUUAAAUUAUUCAGUGAACCCUUUUUAUGCAUCUUUUCAUCUGUCUAAUUCAUCUAUCAUCUUUUAUACUUGUUUCUUUCAUCCAUGUUCACUAUUGUUUGAUUGUUUAACAUGUUCAUACUUCCCAUGCAUUGUUUAAAUGCUCCUUUAUUUCAUUCUUUGAUUCUUUGACUUGAUUAUACACUUGUUUACUUAUCUGAUUUGAUUGAUAAUUGUUGCCUACUUGUAUGAUGAUUGAGGCAUAUAUUCUUAUUGUUUGAUUGCCAUGAACCAUCCCCAUUCAUAACAAAUGUACCCCUCUCCCAUAAAAUGUUUACUUAUCUGAUUUGAUUGAUAAUUGUUGCCUACUUGUAUGAUGAUUGAGGCAUAUAUUCUUAUUGUUUGAUUGCCAUGAACCAUCCCCAUUCAUAACAAAUGUACCCCUCUCCCAUAAAGUGUAUAAUAUUUAUUCUUUAAUUCUUUAUUCAUCUGUUAAUACAAGAAUUAAAACAAACAUCCGAUAAUCAUUUCAAAACAAGAUCAAAAGCUCGAUCCAACGUCGAGUAAUCAUUUUCAAAACUUAACAAAACCAGCACGUUUUCAUUCAUCCUCUUGUAAGUCGAUCGCCUCAGGCAUCACCAUUUCUCUUGUAAGUCGAUUGCUUCAGGCAUCGCCAUCUACCUCUUGUAAGUCGAUUGCUUCAUGCAUCGCCAUCUACCCUUAUCCGUGGCUCCUCUCCUUGCUCCAUCCGUCGACUCUUGUUCCGUUUAGGUAGCACCCAUUAGGUAGAACCAUUUGUAUGAUAACAUAGGUAGAAUUCCCUUAUUCUUUGCAUGCUAACAUUAGGUAGAUGUUCCCCGUUUUACAUCCUAACACAUAGGUCCAUAUUGCAUGACAACUCUAGGGCAGAGCCUCCCCACUUUUAGACCUUCCGUGCGUCUCCGAUCUUGUGGCAUGUCAAUCCGUUCUAUUGCAAAAGAGGUAACUGCCUAAGACUCAAUUCAGCGAGCUGCGACACCUACUGCUAGGACGUUGAACACAUUGCCCACUUUCCUUUGACACAGCUGGUGUCCUCUUUUGUAAGUCCAUGUUCAGAUGGCAAAUGCCUAAGACUCAAUUCAGCGAGCUGCGACACCUACUGCUAGGACGUUGAACACAUUGCCCACUUUCCUUUGACACAGCUGGUGUCCUCUUUUGUAAGUCCAUGUUCAGAUGGCAAUCCUUAACCCCCUAGUUAGGCGAACUACGAUAACUCUGAUUCUCAUGUUCAUAUGAGAUACGUAGGCACGAGAUACGAUGUCUUGUCGAGUUUUUUGACUGACGACUAACAACUAAUCUUUGCUUGCUUUCGCCCUUGUUGCGAUUCUUUUCUCUCGCCCUCAUUGCGAUUGAGACCUUCCCUUUCUCUUGCCCUAGUUGCAAUCGAGACCUUUGUUCCCGUAGUUAGCUGAACUACGUUUUGCUCUGAUUCUCAUCCCAGAUAAGAUACGUAGGCAUAAGACGCGAUGUCUUACCGAGCACACUUCUUCUUAACCCAUAGGUAGCCGAGCUACGAAGACUCUGAUUCUCAUACUCAGAUGAGAUACGUAGGCAGUGGAUGCGACAUCCUUGCAAGUCAUUUUCUUUUGACCUUCUUUUAGUAAGUAGUACUUUAGAUAUACCAACACCCUUUUGACGAGAACAACAAGAGUGGAUCCCGUAGAGUACUACGGAUGCGUAGGGGUGCUAAUACCUUCCCUUCGCAUAAUCGACUCCCGAACCAAAGAUUUGGUUGCGAGACCUUGUCUUUUCCUUCUCUUCAGGUUUUCUUUGAUCGUUUCCUUUCCCUUCUUUGGGAUAAAUAACGAACGGUGGUGACUCUUUUGUUUCUUUUUCUUCGCUAGUUGUAUUUUUUUGCACCAGUUGCGACACCUACUUUUCACAUUUUGUUGUAUUGUAUUGUAUAUUGUUUUGUGACAUAUUUUUGUGCAAUUUGGGAUUACUGUAUUGUAUGUAAUGAUUGAAUUGCUUGAAUAUUAAUUCCUUGUAUGCUUGGUGGUCUUUGAGAGAUGAGUUCUAUACCCGAACUAGAGUGCACUUAGGAUAGGAGAAUGGCAUAGUCUUGUUGACUUAUGGGGAGUUAUUCCUUAGCAAGUUGGCUUGCAAGCCCAUUCACUUGGUGGAGGUCAUGUUGAGAUCAAUAAUGUCACACAAGUAGUUGUGGUUAGACAUUACUCUUUCCAAUAUAGGCCUUAGAAGCCAAGGACCUUAGUUUACCAAGCCCAUCUUGGCCUAUUCUUAGGAUGUAGUACGAAAGACGGUCAAGUGUAAGAUUUGAUACGAUUGUUACGCGAUACUACACUCAUAAGAGUCUCUCUUGAGAAUAUUUUUGGAAUACGAGUAGUUGUUUAUCCGAUAAUAUCCGAAAGAUGGGAUGAUGACUAUGGGAGCGAUACUACACUCAUAAGAGUCUCUCUUGAGAAUAUUUUUGGAAUACGAGUAGUUGUUUAUCCGAUAAUAUCCGAAAGAUGGGAUGAUGACUAUGGGAACCUCUUGUAGAACAUGUUUGGCAGGUUCAAACCCUAGUACACUCCCUUUGGGUGGUUCUUAACCGAGACUCCAUGCUCGUGACUUGCAACAAACCCUUGAUUCGUGGUUGAUCCGUUCUUGUAUCCUUAAUAUCAAUGGAACUUGGGUGUUGAUAAGAUGUAAACCAUAAUCCACCAAAAUGGAUGAUUGAUAUUAAGGAUAACAUGAUCUAUCCCAUGACCUUUGUUUGGUGUGCUUUGCUUGAUCCUUGAGUGUGAUUGUUGCAUUCAUGCAUUAGUGCACCCAUUUGCAUCCAUAGCAUCAAUAAUGAGAAAAUUUUCAAGGAACAUAAGAGGUCUAUUUGCAAAUUUUCAGACAUGGAAAGACAAAGAAGGAAUACAAAGUAGUACAGUUUCAGACAACCUGACUUGAAAGUGCUAAGGAAUUUGACAUCCUAUGUAUUAGAUCCCUUGGGUUUCAAGGCUCGUUUUGGGAAGCUUUUAUCCGUUCUGACUACUCAGGUGGACGAAGAAUUGAUGAGUGUAUUGGUGCAGUUUUAUGAUCCCUUGUACCGUUGCUUCACAUUUCCGGAUUUCCAGCUUUUGCCCACGCUUGAGGAGUAUGCCUACCUUGUGGGUAUACCCAUUCUAGACCAGUUUCCGUUUAGUGGCUUAGAGAGUGUUCCUACUUCUCAAGAGAUAGCUGCUAUGUUGCAUAUAGAUGAAUCUAUGGUUGUUGCUCAUAUGACUACCAAAGGCGGAAUUCAAGGUCUCCCUUUUGAGUUCCUCAUUGCUCAAGCUACUAUGUAUGGGAAGGCCAUGAUUGAGGACGCCUUUGAGGCCAUAUUUUUACUUCUCAUCUAUGGGCUAGUGUUAUUCCCCAACAUCGAUAAGUUUGUGGAUGUGAACGUUAUUAGGAUUUUCUCUACUCUUAAUCCCGUUCCAACUCUGUUGGGUGACACUUACUUUUCUUUGCAUAUGAGGAAUGCAAAGGGUGGUGGUACCAUUGUAUGUUGUUUGUGUAACACCCUUCUAAAAUACCCCAAAAUAUUUAAUUAAAAUAGCAAUAUGUCAAUCAGAGUAAUUAUGCAACUAAGGGUGUCACACAAUCAUUUCACACCAUUUUCCAAAAUAUCCUGUCAUGCUCAUUUAUUUAAUCAAAAUAAAACAUUCGCAUAAUACGCAGCGGAUACAAACUAACAAUAUUCAAACCAUGUAAUACAUUACAUGUAAAGUUGUUCAACAAUCAAAUGAAAACAUAAUAAAACAUCCCGUCCCGAUGUUACAUCUACCAGAGCAUGACCCACUAAGGAACUACACUAGACUCCAAGGACUAGCUUCUACUCAAUCACUGCUCGUUACCUGAAAAAUAGUUGUAAGGGUGAGUUCCUCAAUCGAUAUAAUAAGCAUUAUAAAUUAACAUGUAAUGCCAAGUAAUUUCACACAUUCAUCACCCUAAUCAGAUCAUACAUUCAGCAACGGCAACAUCAACUAAAAUCAUACUCAACUCAACCACAAAACACACGUAUAAUAUUGGAAUACAUCCAUUCAUAUUAUACGCCAUACAAUACAAAUGCAAUGAGACUCCAUGCAUGCGGUACCGACUAUUUGUGAACAUAUAGUUCACCUCACCGUCCAAAUCCAGGCACGGCUACCAAGCCCACCUAGUCCCACUCAUUUGAGACCUAGUGACUCACUCACUAAUUCCUCACCANNNNNNNNNNNNNNNNNNNNNNNNNNNNNNNNNNNNNNNNNNNNNNNNNNNNNNNNNNNNNNNNNNNNNNNNNNNNNNNNNNNNNNNNNNNNNNNNNNNNNNNNNNNNNNNNNNNNNNNNNNNNNNNNNNNNNNNNNNNNNNNNNNNNNNNNNNNNNNNNNNNNNNNNNNNNNNNNNNNNNNNNNNNNNNNNNNNNNNNNNNNNNNNNNNNNNNNNNNNNNNNNNNNNNNNNNNNNNNNNNNNNNNNNNNNNNNNNNNNNNNNNNNNNNNNNNNNNNNNNNNNNNNNNNNNNNNNNNNNNNNNNNNNNNNNNNNNNNNNNNNNNNNNNNNNNNNNNNNNNNNNNNNNNNNNNGUAUCAGUUAUGUGUGCAUUUGUGAAUAGACUGUUUUAUGGCUUAGAGUGUGAGCAUAUGUCUAUUCGUGAAUUGUGGUUGAUGAUUUAGCAUUGCUAGGUGAUUAGCAUGCAUAUUGUGGCCUUAUGGUGGUAGCUAAUUCCCAUGGUGAGGAAUUAGUGAGUUAGUCAUUUUGGACUGUUGUUGAUGUUUGCAUGCUAGGUGAAUUAGCGUGCAUAGCAUGGCCCUUGGGGUGGUAGCUAAUUCCCAUGGUGAGGAAUUAGUGAGUGAGUCACUAAGUCUCAAAUGAAGUGGACUAGUGGCUGGGCUGGUCAGCUCGAGGCCUUAUGGGGCUAGUGGGAACUGGUGCCGUGCCUGUAAUUGAUUGAGACGGGUCGAGGUGACCUAUAUGUUACAAAUAGUCGAAGAAUAGACAUAUGCUCACACUCUAAGCCAUAAAACAGUCUAUUCACAAAUGCACACAUAACUGAUACAUUCACAGGAUCAUGCAUACCAUCACACAUCAUCAGUAUUUUAUCACAUAAGCAUAUCAUAUCAUGCCAAAUAACAACCACAGUAUUAGCACACUCUACUAAUACCUAUACUACUCAAAACGACGGGGAAUGAGCCCUAAUAUAUCAUACAUCAGCUAAAUUACAUUACUCAGCUGAACAGCUAAAAACUGCACAACAACAGCUCAGGAAAAUCACAAGUCUGCUCAUACGCGUAUUACCUAGUCCCAUACGCGUAUGGCCCAUUUCUCAGCCAAAACCCAUACGCGUAACACCAUCCCAUACGCGUAUGCUACGCGUACCACAACCCCAUACGCGUACCAACAGAGACCAAAACACGUUCAAAACAUCAUCUUCCUCAUCCAUACGCGUAUUGCCUAGUGCCAUACGCGUACCAGACCAUCUCAUACGCGUAUUGCCUAGUGCCAUACGCGUAUGACCAGAAACCAGAUUUCCAGAUCUGCUAUGGUCUUCUCUGCUACGAGAUCUACCAAUUUCCAACCUCCUACAAUCCAAUUUUUCACAUUAUUCGUUCAUAUCCUCUAACACAAUUCAUACCCUAUUCGAUUUCACAAAAUCUAACAUUAUUACAUUAAUUCCUACGAAUUUCCUUCAUUUAUAAUCCAAAUUUCGUUCAUCCAAUACUUCACAAUUUCAUCAUACGUCAUUCCAAUCAGAGGUAAAUCAAUGGUUUAUCACUACCCAGUACAUAUUAUCCCAUAAUACCCAUUAAACGAUGAUAAACCCCCCUUACCUGAGUUAAUCCGGCGAAUCUUUAAGCUCCAAGCUCUUCCUCUCUUCAACCCUUGUUUUCUGGCUCUCUUUGCCCCUUUUCCACUUUUCUGUCCCUUUUCCCUUUUCACGUGAAAAAAAUAAACCUUUUACCAAAAUGGGACCUUUUCUAAAUUCCAACUUUUAUUCCAAUAAUUAUUAUUCCAAUAAAAUACUAACCCAAUAAUAAUAAUUCCAAUAAUAACAUUCCAAUUAUUUAAUUAAAUUAAUAAAUAUAUUAUUAACUUAAAUUAAAUAAUUAUCUUAUUUUAUCGGGGUGUUACAGUUUGCCUCUGUUGUACAAGUGGUUUAUUUUGCACUUGCCAUAGACGGUCGCCUUCAAGGAGAACAAAGGAUGUCUACGGUGGUCCCCGAGACUGAUGUCUCUCACUAAUGAUGAUAUCUUUUCGUACAACCGUGUAUAUGAUGGUAUGCAGAUUAUUGACUCUUGUGGUGAAUUCUCCAAUGUGUCUCUUCUUGGUACAUGUGGUGGGAUUAACUACAACCCCGUUUUGGCACGUCGUCAUCUUGGGUUCCCCCUAAAGGAUAAACCCAAUAACAUUCUGUUAGAGGGUGUGUUCUUUCAGGAAAGUAAAGAUCCCUAAUGCUUGAAGGGCAGGAUUGUCCGCGCUUGGCGCAAGAGCCAUAGGAAAGGAAGGAAGGAGCUAGGUCCAAAGAACUGUAUCGCUUUGGAGCCUUAUACUUCUUGGGUUAGGGGGAGAGCUUCCGAGUAUCUCAUGCCUUACGAGUAUCCAAGACCUACACCCUUGGUUAUGGCUGGGCCUUCAACCCUCCCUGACCAAGGAGUAGAGGAGUUGAGAGACGAGGAUCGUUCGCGUGCUUGGAUCCAUGAACGAGAGGAGUUGCUUCAGCAGAUCAAGGAAAAGGAUGUUUUGAUAGAGUUCCUCGAGCACCAGGUUAUAGAUGAUCCUGAUGAUGCAUGGACUUCUCUACUUCCUCAAUCUUCCAAAUUUUGGAAGAGGAAGUAUUAUCGACUUGCUAAAGAGAAGGCAGACAUGGAGGCAACCUAUGAGAGGGAGGUGAAGAGGCUUCGUGCGUCCUAUCUUCCAGUCUCCAGAGCUUUAGAUGAUUGCUUCUAGAGUUCCAUAGAAUGAUCAUUUUCCUUCUCUCUUGUAUUAUAUUUGGUUACCAAGACUGUACUUCUUUGGUGUAAAAAUAUUUUCCAGAUAUUAUUUGAUGUAAUAUUUCCAUGUGUGAUAAAUGUUUAAUAUUCCCAAAUAUUUGCAAAUAGGACUCUAAAGUUCCUCUGAUAUAAAAAAUUAAAUCAUAUGCAUUGCAUGCAUCAUGUGCAUAAGCAGGUUUUGCUCCAGGCUAACUUUGUGUUCUUCAUUUAUUUGAAGACAAGCUGACUCACCGGUACUACACCCGAGCCAACGCAUCAAGACUAAUGGAUCAUUUGGAACCACAUAACCGUGAGCUUAAGGAGGAAGUAGCCAGAUUGACUGCCCUGAUGGAGUCAUUCAUGGCUGCCCAGAGCCAGUCAUCUCCGACACCUUCAACUCCUCCGCAGAGGAUAGUCAUCUCCGAGAUUGUCUCUUUAACU